This 49520-nucleotide long non-coding RNA is filed under the name Cucumis sativus (cucumber). Its description in RNAcentral is "long non-coding RNA (CSAT_LNC001622)". Lineage: Eukaryota; Viridiplantae; Streptophyta; Magnoliopsida; Cucurbitales; Cucurbitaceae. The record is from RNAcentral.
UUUUUUUUUUUUUUUUUGGGUUGGGUUGGGUUGGGUCUCGAGUUGGAGGGUUGAAAAUUUUGGUUCAACCCAACCCAACCCGAAUUAAUAUAAUAUAAUAUAUAUAUUAUUUAAUAAAAAAAAACAAAUUAGGUAUAUAAACUUUGAAUUUAUUUUAUGAAAUUUUGAAGUAUGUAUGUUUGAAAUUUAAAUGUAACAAUUUUGAACUUUUAUAACAUUAGAAACUAGAAAAAAAAAAACUAUGCAAAACCCGACAAUUUUGCGUGAGCAUGAUAUAAUACUAAUCAACAAUUAUAACAAUAAUUGUCCAAGUAAAACCCCCAACAUAAUAAGUAAAAAACCACGGACCGAAGUCAAAAUCUCCACUCUAAUCUUUAAUGGGUACAACAAAGUUCUUCCUAGUCACAAAUAGAGGCAAAUAUUUGGAGAAUAAUAAUUUUGGCAAUAAACAACAAUAACAAUGAAGAAAAAUAGAAAUAUCUCACAAUAUAUGAUAGCCAACUAUCCGCUAGAAUUUGACUGUAGAUAUCUCCAAAUGAAAUCUCCACUGUUCAAAAUAAAGACUCUCGUGCCAAGAAUAUAAUGUCAAAAUUUCAGCUCAAUUGGACCACAGAUCCAUCUCCAUAUGGUUGAAAUACGAACUACAUGGAAUUUGUUUUUUUUUUUUUCACACUGUGUUGCCGUCACACUUUCACACGGUCAAAAUUAGACAAUUGCAUAAUAAAACAAAGAAAGAUUUAGAGAAAUCACCAUUUUUCCCACGAUAUUUCACAAAUGUCCUAAAUUUUCAAUUAUUAUACAAGGUAAGAAAUCGUGGCAUUUUAGGACAAUUUUAACAUUCAUAUAAUUAUUUAAUAAUUAUGAUUAUCAAAUAUCUUAAACAAUAUUUUCAUUAACAAUCAAAAAUCAUAUUUAUUAUAUCAAUUGUGAUUUCUUUCUUAAUUAUUAGUACAUAUAUAUUUGUCCUUAAUUAUUACAUAUAUAUUUGUAUUUAUUAAUAAAAUAUUUAUUACAUUUGCAAUAAUUUGAAUAUGGUAUAAAUUAUUAUCUUAUAUGAUAAUAAUAUUUUUAAUUAUUCCACAAAAUAAUUAUUUUCAAUUCAAUGCCCAAACCAGGAGCUUUUUUCUCACAAUCAUCAAUUCAGGCGUCGACUUUCUUCUUCGAUUUGUAUUUCAAAAAAAAAAAAAAAAUCUUGUUUCCUACCGAACAUACGGUUAAUUUUUUUUUUUUUCAUUCAUUUCUCGCUUCAUAUAUUCUUUCUUCUUUCAUUUCGUAGUAUAUAGAUUUUUUUUCUUAAAAAAUUUGUUCUUUCUUCUUCUGUUUCAACAUAUAUUUAGGUCAUGUUCCUCAAACUUUGUUUCAUUUUUUAUUGUACAGUUCAUCUUUCUGUCGUUUGUCGUGUUCGACAUACAUUUUUUAUUCAAUGUCUCAUCAUUCGUAUAUACUAUGAUAUACCACAAAAUAAUAAAUUUAUGUAAUGUGAUUUUUCACAUAUAUACUGCUGCAUAUAUUCAAUAAUACAUACACAUAUUCGUUUUCAUGUCCUGUGAUUUUUUCUUAUUGCGUAUGUAUACCAAUAUAUAAACAUAUUAUAUAUCCUUUCAAUUUUUUUUUCUUAAUAUAUGCUACUGAAGAAUUCAUUUAUAUUUCGUGAUUUGUUACAUAUAUACUGCUACAUAUAUUUAAUAAUACAUACACUUUUUUUUUUUCAUGUUCUGUGAUUUUUUUUUACUACAUUUAUAUACCACUUAUACGCAAAUUAUGUAUCCGAUCAAUAUUAUUUUUAAUUCCUAUAUAUAUACUCUACAUAAUACAUUCAUGUUCUAUGAUUUGUUACAUAUAUACUACUGCAUCUAUUCAAUAAUACAUAAAUUGAAGUUUGCAUCUUUCCACCGAAUGUAAAAUGUUCAGUUGGUCGAUCAAAGAAUAUUAGAAUUUUUUCUAAAAUAGAAUUUUAAAUGUGGCCGUUGUGGAUGUGUUGGCCAUAACCAAAAGAGAUGCAAGUUUUUCGUAAUGAACUAGUUUUUUCUUCUUAUUAUUAGACUUUUAGUAUGUAAAUUCAGACUUUUAUUUGAAAUAUUCAUAUUUUAGAUUUUAAUUUAGUUAUUUUAUUUUCAUAUUUUUCCAUUAUUGUAUUAAUAAAAAAAAUCAACUUAUUAUAUUUAAUAUACUACCCUUCAUACAUAAUCAUUAUUAUUGUUUCAAACAUAACUUAUUAUUUAUUACAUAUAAUAUGAAUAUUUGAAAAAAAAAAUACAUAAACCAGUUUGGCAAAUUGAUAGCAUAACAUUUUAUUUAUAAAAUAUACAAUGUAUUAUUUUAUAUAUACUAUUCAUAAACCAAUUUAACACUCAACCAAUUUUUCAUACAAUCUCUUGAAUUUUCAAUUCUUUCAUCAAAGUCUCUAGAUCGCAAACAUAUUCAUUUUUUCUCAACAUUACAUAUACCAGAACUAGAGAAGAACUAAUGUUUUAAUGACAUAUAUUACAUAUACUAAUCAUAAUUUUUUCUCGUUAAUGUUUCUGUAAACAUAAACAACUUUCAUACAUAAUUACUAUUGUUUCAAACAUAACAUAUUAUUUACUACGUAAGAUAUGAAUAUUUAAAUAAUAAAAAUUAAUAUAAGAACAUUUCAUUCAUAAAAUAUACACCAUAUUAUUUAAUAUAUACUAGAAUUAGGUGAAAUAUAUGAAAAACAAUGCAAAACGAAAGAAACCAUGAGAGAAAGAUUGGAAAUUUAGAGAGAGAUCAAGAUGGAAGAAUUUUUGAACAAAACCAUCAAACGAAGGAAUAAUUUUUAUUAUAAUAUUAACAUAAUAUAAUUAAUUACUUAUCAUAUUUAUAUAGGAUAUUUAAUAAAUGCAAAUAUUAAUCCUAAUCCACUUUUUUUUUUCAUUUUUUAUUUUUUAAAUAUAUUAUUAAUAAUAAAGUUGAGUAAAUUGGUCGUUUGAACUUUAUAUUUGUAUAAAAUAUUAAUUCAUUUAUGAUAUUUAUGAAAAAUUUAGAAAAUUAUACCAUUUUACUCCAUCUGAAAUAAAGAUCCUAAAACAACUUAACCUAAAUAAAUUGUGGAAAAGGCUUCAAAGUGAAGCAUAAUAUCAAGGGGGCGUACCCCAAUGAGUUGCAAACAACCCAACGAACUCUCUAACCUCACACGGUUAUUCACCCAAGAAUAAGUUUUAAUUUUUGCAUGAAAAUAUCAUUACUUUUGCAUUGAAAACGACAUUUUCUUUUUACAUUCUUCCAUUUUAAGCUAGGACUUGUAGAUUCUAUGCAUGUACUCAACGACUCCCAAAUUUAUUGAAUACGUAUCAACUUACAUGUAUUUAAUUUAUGUGUAUAUAUAAUGUAUAUGUCAUUAAAGUCAUUUCUUGAACAAGUUUUGAGUCAUCUAGUGUUGGGAUCUAUUUGUUUUUUUUGUUUAUGUAGGAUAUGGAUAGAUAACCUUAAGAGGAGGCAAAAACUACAAUAUCAUAAACACAUUUGAUUUUUAUCCUCUUUAAGCAUAUGACAAAACUUGACAACAAUUUACCUUGAUUUCCAAAUAAAAUAAUAUCUUCAACCAAGAACCCAAUAUCAUACCAAGAAAAGUCGUCUCCAAUCAAAAGUUUGCUGAUAUGUUCUAGAAUAAUACAUUUUAUUGAUAAAGUUUAGAGUGAGUUUGAAUUAACUUAAAAAAAGUUUGCUGAUAUGUUCUAGAAUAAUACAUUUUAUUGAUAAAGUUUAGAGUGAGUUUGAAUUAACUUAAAAAAUUUAUUAAAAUUUUUAAAAAUAACAAAUAUUAUCAAAUAUUUAUAACUUAUAACAAAUUCUAUCACUUAUAGUCAUUGAUAUACUACAUUGAUAGAAGACUAUCGGUAAUAGAAUCUAAAAUUUUUAUAUAGCUUAUAAAUAGUUUAACCUAUUAUGUUAUUUUUAAAAAUUUCCUAAAUUUAUUUUUGUGAAAAUGGUUUAAAAUAUAUUAAAAAUAUUAUUUUAAAUAAGUUUCAAACAAAUUAAAAACUUGAAAAAUGUAAUCUAGUGCACUAGAUUGUUAGUUUUCAUUUUAAUUAUUAGAUUUUACAUUUUUGCGCACAAAUGACUAGUGCUUGCUUUCAUGUUGGUGUCAACUAUCAAUUAAUUAAUUUCAAAUAUUUAUGAAGUCAUUUUUUAGAAAAUUAAAUUUAAUGAUAAGAUGAAAAAAAAUGAAAUGAAAAAAAUGAAAUGAAAAAAAUGAAAUGAAAAAAAUGAAAACUCAUCUGACAUUGUAAAAUUGGAAAACCUACUCAACAUCCUUCAUCAAAUUAUUUCUUACACAAAUUUAAUCACAUCAAUUUACACAAAAUGCAUUGUAAAAUGCUAUACAUACCACGGUUCAAUUUUUAUACAUAAACUUCACGUCAAAUUUCUUUAACAUCCCAUUUUUUGUGAAUAAAUUUUAAAUAAAAUUCUUUAAAUUUAUUUAUGUAACCAUUUGAUUAAGCUACCAUUUGAUUUGUAAGCUACCAUUUAAAAAUUUUACUCUAUAUGAUAAAUAUUUUAUUAAAUUUAUUUAUUUUUUUUACCCUUUUUAAAAACAAAUUUUUAUAUAGUAAAAUUAAAAAGAAAGAGAGUAAAAGUAAAUUUGAAGCUGUCUAAUUUUAGGGGAAAGAAAAUGGAAAGAGGAGGUAGAAAGAUUUGAGUUGGAUAGGAAGUAGAAAAGACAAUUAUUUUAGCUUGAUUAGAGAGGGGUUCAAUUGUUGAAAAGAUUGAUCAGAAAUGGCAAUGAUAACCCGUUUUUUAAGUGUGGGUUUGCUCGAGACUCCUAUUUUCGAAGCAAACAAAACAGAAGAAGAUAUCAUUGCAUUUUUCUGUGUUUUGGAUUUCCUUUUUGAAUUUGGCACCCAAACCAAACGACAAACAAACGUUCUCAAUAGCUUUGCUGUAAAUAAUAAUAAUAAAAUAAGUUGACAAAAUUGGUAAUUUUUUUUUCUAUAGGGUUUCGAUUUUCAGCCAACAAUAAUCCCUUAAAACAUGGAAACAGUAAAUCUCAGUCAUUUGCUUCGUCUCCAAUUGCCACCAUGUUAGUUUAUGAGUCACUUGUAAUGUUAUGUUUCAAACACUUGUACAUAGCUAACAUUUAUAUAUCCUAAGGAUCUAGUAUGAAUACUUUUUAUAAUUUGAUAAAAUUUGUGGGAACUAUUUACAAAAUUGAUAGAUGUCACCUCAACUAUAAUUUCAACAAGAAAAAGGAUUAGAACCACGAUUAAGCACAAUUUUCGACAAACUAUUCAUUAAGAUAUAACAAUAAUUAAUUUAAAAACAAAAUUAUUUAAUACAUGAUAAAUUUAAAUUGGACAAUGCUUAGGAGCAAUUAAUUGAGUUUAACCCAAAAAUGAUGUUUGGGACAUUGAAUCAAAUUAUGAAGUGUUUGGUGGAAAGAAGUUAUAAUUAAAAAAAAUAUAGAAUGUUAAAGAUAAGAAAUUUUAUAAAUAAACAUACAAACUUUAAUAUAAAAUAUAAACGAGAAAUGAGGAAGGAGAGAGUAGGGGGCAAUGGGAAUUAGGGUGAGUUACAGAGUGAUGAUUGACACAAAAAAGAAAAACAAAAAACUCGCCGCCAAAGCGAUGGAAGGACACCGCAUGCAUUAAUUGAUCGAAUUAAUCGUCUCUUCGUUUUCAAAUAUAAAAUAUAUAUUUUUGAAAUUUUAUAAUCAUCAUAUAAUAUUACUUCCAAGUUCACACCCAAACGCCAAAUUUCCUUCACCGUCCCUUCAUCUUCAUAGUAAUACUAAUACUAAUAAUGGGUUUUUCUCUAAACCCAAACGCCGAUCCCUUUUUUUAUACGGCGCCCUUCUCAUCACCGCCGAUGAAGCUACAGUGUAGCCCUAUCCCCAGGCUCAUCUUGGGCCCGGUACCGUUGCAUGCUAAUUACUUGGUCCCCUACCUACACCAACACCAUCACCCCAUGUUCUCUGGAUUCUUCAACGGCAUCGUUCCCCCGCAGGUUGCUUUGUGUUCGCCCCGUUCCGAUGGUUUUUGCGGCGGCGGCGGCGGCGGCGGCUCUAUUUCUUAUUCUCAGCCACAACGCUGUGAGGGUGACAGAAAGAUGAAAUGGGUUCCGACCAAACUUCAUUUUGACGUUGCUGAUGAUAAUAAUAAUAGCGAUCAAGUCUUGCCUUUUCGAACUCAAACUACCACUCUCAUGAUCAAGAAUAUUCCCAAUCAAUUUAGGUCUACCCUUCUCUCUUCAUUUUUUUGUCCUUUAUAUUUUCAUUCUAUAUUAUUAACCUUUUUCCUUUUCUUUUUUUGUUGUAUCGGUUUAUGAAAACACUCUUUAAAUGACACAAAAAAAAAAAAAACAGAAAAAAAGGAAAAUAAUCUAGAAGCUAUUAUAUAUUGGUAAAUUAUUAAAUUUAUGAACCCUAAAGUUGUAUUUUUGUUAGUUUUUUUAAGUUUCUUUUUUGGAAAUCCUAAAUAGCUAUUUAGUUCUGGGUUCUUAGUUUUAGUAAUUGUGCAUAUUUUCUCUUAGUUUCUCAUUUUGGUUUUGUUUUUUUAAUUUUUAUACAAGAGUUCAAUUCUUUGCCAAUAUUAAGAAAGGAACUACUUUUUAGAAACAAUUUCCUCCAUUUAACUUAGUUUUUGAAUACAUCAAUAAAAGGUAAACAACAAAGCAUAAAACUAGAAUUAGUGUCUAGAUUUAAUUUUAAAAAACCAAAAACUAGAAUGAUUUUCAUUAUUUUUUUUGUUGAAAAUUAUGCAUAUAAACCCUCGUACCACAUCUAGGUCUAUUAAUUUGUUAUCUAUUUUGUUAAUUUUUUUAUUGAUAAUUGUUGGUGCUUUUGUAAUUUCGCUGAGAAAUGAACUUCUGUGCUUGAAUAUGCAAAUCAUCAGUAAUAGUUUACUAAAUUAGGUCGCCUAAUAUUUGUUUAUCAUAUAGAGCUAUUUAGUGUUCAAUUUCAAUUUUUUUGGUAGGCAAAAUCAUUUAUUGAAUAUUCUGGACAAGCAUUGCAAGUGGAAGAACGCAAGUUAUGAAAAGAAGCAUAGUUUGGACAGCUGCCGUCGGUCGGAAUACGACUUUGUUUACUUGCCAAUGGACUUCCGGUGAUCACUCUUGUCAAAAUUUCAUUACCAAUUCAUUCCUAUUUUAUGUUCGUUUGGGUUGUUGUAAGUUUUGAUGAAUAACUUAUUUGUGGGCAAUAUAAUGCAAAUAAUAGGAAAUAUUGGUACGAUGGGCAAAUAUCAAAUCUUGGAUAUGCUUUUGUAAAUUUCACAAACCCUACAGCAGCUUCCGAGUUUCGUGAAGCCUUUCAUCGCCGACGAUGGGAUGUUGCAGUCAGCAAAAAAGUCUGCGAAAUUAAAAUUGCAAAACUUCAGGUCCACUUAAACGCCGUCGUUUUACCUUUCUUUUUCUUUAUAUUUCCUUUAAUUAUAUAUGGUGUUCGUGUUGUGUAUGUACUGUAGGGUUUGAAGGCUCUGAAUAACGCUUUGAAGGACAAAAUCUUUUGGUGCCAUGCCGAUAGCUAUCUUCCAGUUAUGUUGGAGCCAUCAAGCGAUGGUUAUCGGAGAUAUCGAGCCAUGCCGGUCGGCAAGCGUAUGGAUCGACCACCACCUGGUUCAAAGAAGAAAUGAGGUCGAAUUAAUCAAGUGAAAUUACUACGUGUGGCAGAUGAUGAUGAGUAAUCAAUCGUAUAUGGUUUUCUUAGGGUUCAUUUUGAUUACUCAAUGUGGUGUAGUAGUGUGUAGUAUAAGAAUUACCUACCAAGUAAGUUUGUGAACGUAGUUCAUGGCUCUUUCUGUUAUGAUGAAACUUGUCCAUAUUUCUAUCAUAUAUCCGGAAAGAACUUGGGAUAUCGAUUUUAAUAUUUGCGGAUUUUUCAACGUAUUUUAUAAAUGCUCCCAAUGCAUAAACAUGCCAUCUACUUGUCCUGAAUAUGACCACUAAUAACAAUGGACUAAAUUAUAAAAAUUGUUUUCUGAAUUUUGUAUUUUGUACGUUAUCCCUAGCUUUUUGAAACUUUCAAACCAGUUAAAAAAAUACCUUUACCAUUUCUUUUAGAGAAAUGCUACUAUUGUUUUAUUUAAAAAUUACACUUGAUAUAACUUAAAUAAAUUGUAAAAAACAAUUACAAUCUCGUUUGAGAAACAACUUGGAAUGAAAUAUCUUAUUGUGAUUCAUGUAUUAAAUAUCUAAUAUCUAUCCCACGAUAGCAAUACAGCAUCUAAGCCUAUCAACGAUUAUAAUCAAAUUUUGUAUUUUUUUCAUCUCUUGGUAUGACCUAUCUUUUUUUUAUCUACUAGUAAACAUGUGCCAUUCACGAGAAAAUCAACGAAAAAUCAUUUUUAUUAUAACUUUUAAUGUUUGUUUUAGUGAAAAUGAUUUUUUAACUUUUCAUCAUCUUAUUUUAACUUUUUUCAAAAUUUAAAAAGUCUCUCCAAUUAAUUAUAUCAUUUAAAUUUAUCCAAAUUCAUUCACAUUUCUCUUUCUCCUUUAAUUUGAUAUCUCCCAACUAAUUGCAUUUCAUUCUCUCGUAUUAACUCAUUUUGUAUAUCUUUCAACCUUUCAAAUUCUCUCUUCAAAUCUAUGAAUAUAAAUAUCCCACUUUUUCUGUUUUUCAUGAAUGUGCACAACAAAAUACUAAUACUAAGGGUAAAAUAAGAUAUUUUCAAAUCAAUGCUUUUCUAUUAUCUUCUAUUUUUUAAAAAAAUUCAUAAUUAAUUAUAUUAAAAAAAUAAAAUAAAAAAUAAAAUUACCAUAAAAUCAAAAAGUGAACCGAAACACACAAAAAUUGAAACCAUCAUUAUAAUAUUUUCAUAUUUAUAUUCACAUCGCAAUGAGUGAAAAAUGAAUUUAUUUAGUAAAAAAAAAUGUUGUCAUCUUUCGAAUGUAUCUUUGAAUUUGAUUUGUUUGUACAAUUCAAACUCCAUUUCUUAACAUCUUGAGCUUACAUGUUGCAAACUUAACCAUCUAAUCUAUAUAUAUCCAAAUAAAAUAGAAGAUAAAAAUGUUCUUAGUUGUGUAAUAACAUAUAACAUUAUGUAAUAUCUGUUAUGAAAGAUGGAAAAGUUACAUUAUGACUCUAAUAACAUAGAGCAUUAACUAUGAGAUCAAAAUUUUUCUUUUUUCAAAUAAGGAGAUGAAAAGUUAACAAAGUGUAACUUCUAUUUUGUUGAAUGUGAAAAUGAUCACAAACAUUAAAUCUAUCUGAACAAUAAAAUUACCACUAAAGCAACAUUAAAAAAAAUUAUAAUGAAAGGAUAAAACAUCCACCAAAAUCAUAUUUCUUUUGAAAUUAUGAAAUUAUAAAUGUGAAAUCAUAAUUUUUUAAAAUAAUUUUAUAGGUAAAAAAUUAAAGAAAAGACUUUAAUAUUUCUUGUUUUACACAUUUUAUUACUUUUAUUUAUCCUUAAUAAAUUUAAACAAUAUUUACAUUGUUUUAACAAAAUCAAAGUAUAAGCCAUCCAACUAUUUCAUUAAUAAAAUAGCUUUAAUAAAAAAAUUAAAUGAAGAAAAAAACAUGAGCAAGAUUUUCAUGGUUACAUUAGAAAAGGAUUCUCAAUACUACAUGAUUUAAACAUAAAGAGCAUAGACAUAUGUACAUGUCAAUCAUGAUAUCGGUGGUUCAAGUUUCCCCAAUCUAUGUUGGACACUAAAAGAAACCUAUAGAUGAAGAAAUAAACACAAGUAUACUUCUAUAUAUAAAAAAUAGACAACAAAAUAAAAAAAAGAAUAGAAGAGAAUAGAAAAACAUGAUUUGAUUUUUUCUUCCAUAACAUUUUGUUUGAUUUGUGAAUAUGAAUGAAAAAAAAUAGUAAGAUUUUUAUAAGAAAAUAAAAAGGAAGAAUUUGAAAGGUUGAAAGAGAUAGAGAAUAUGAAUAGUUGAGAGAUAGAAGAUUAAGGGAGAGAUGAGAAUAUGAAUGGAUUUGGAUAAAUUUAAAUAGUUAUAAUUAAUUGGAGUGAUUUUUUUUUUAAUUUAAAGAAAAGUUAUAAUAAGGAGAUGAAAAGUUAAAAAAAUAAUUUCCUCUACCAUUAAAAUGUAUAAUAAAAAUAAUACAAACAUUAAAUCUAUAUGAAUGACAAAAUUGCCACUAAAGCAAAACUAAAAUAAAAAGUGAUAUAAUAAAAUGGUAAAAUGGGGUAAAAAAAGAUUUCACCACUUCCAUCCUUUUAUAUAUACAGUAUUGAUGUUUUUAAAUGCUUUCUUACGUGAAUUAUCAUUGUGGGUAUGGUAGUAAAAUAAUAAUUUAUACUUAUCUCUGGAUGAAAGCAGAAAUUUUGCCUAUUGUUUGUCUAAUCGAGGAAAAGGGUAACAUCCCAUGGUGAUUUAUACUUCACAUUUGAAACUAACGUUCUCCCUUUGAAUGUGAUCAGUCCAAGUGUAGCAAUGUAACAGAGGCUAGUCCAAUUUUGUUUUCACCAACCAAAAUGCAACUGGAGAACAAAAUAAUUUAUUCAAUAAUAACAAUAAUUAUGGAAAAAUAAAUAAGUUAAAUUUAAUAAUAUGGAGUUCCAUCUCAAAAUCAAUUGACAAUGAAAAGAGUAGCUAAUCUAUAUUAUAUGAAGUGUGAAGUUCCAUUGUUUUUUCAACGUGGGACUCUUAACAUCUCCAACAAACAUUAGUAGAGUAGGAAAUGAAAGACGAAGAUACUCACCCUAAUAGAGGCCCAUCAUCCAAGGCUACUUGGCAACUGUGUCACAAGCAUGGACGUUCAUGCUGAAGUAUGUUAUUAUAGGUAUGGCAUGAUUUUCUGGAGGACAAUGACAGACUAGUUAAUUACAAAGUUCAAACCGAAAUUCAGCCUACAUAGCAACCCUUAAAGUUGCGACAAAUCCUAGUUGGCUUGCAGAUAAUGGGGCUACUACGCACUCAUAUAUUACCACAGAUCUUUGGUAACUUAACAUCAAAUCUGAAUAUCAUGCUAAAGAUACUCUAACUGUUGGUUUAUGCAAAAAACUCAAAGUUCAUCAUAUCAUGUCAUGUCAUGCUCUGCCCCCACCACACCUUCAUGUGACAAGAAGGAGGCGUACCAUCUAGACAUUUCACACAAGUUUCUCUGGAAGCAACGUGCCAAACACUUAGUAAGCAGAAUUUCUCAACCAAUCCUCACCAUAGAGCCCCAAUUUGAACUCGAAGGAUCAUUUCAACUCAUAACAACGGAACACUAAAACAAUCAAUCUUAACUUAAUCGCCUAGCCUUUAACACCUAAACCAAAACUACUAAGCGAUAAGCAAUAAAGACACUACAAGAAUUUUGGUCUUUGUCAACGCAAAAAAACGUGGGCAGAGCUUAUGCCAACUUAUUUUUUUUUUUUGCGCAGGCAUGUUGCAUGUCCAAUAAACCUCGUCGUCUUUUCCUUUUCUCACGUUUUUUGAUGUUACGUCGGCAGAACUGCAAAUGCAAAUUAAAAUCGUGGGCAAAGAAAAAAUUUCUGUCCACAAAAAAAUGUCGGUAAAAAAUAUUUUUACCCACGUUCAUCAUCAUGGCGCCAAAAAUAGACUUUUUAGCCUAAAAAAAACCGUUGGCGAAAGACCUUUUUACCCACGAUCAUCAUUACGUAAGUAGAAAUAAACUUUCUACCUUCUGCCUACGUGUGUUUCGUGGACAAAAACUAUUUCUGUCAAUAAAAAUAUUUUUGUCAGCAAAAAUAAAAUUUCUCCUUGUGAACAGAUAAUAUUUGUUUCUUUUUUGCCCACACACAAAACGUCGCUAGAGACUGCCAACAUAUUUCUAGCUAUACAAAAAACGUGGAAAAAAUGAUUUUAAUUUUUUUUACAUUUAUUAUUAAUGUUGUAUGUUUCUAGAUUAAUUUUCAAAUAUAGAAUGACUUUCUUGACUAUAACAAAACAUAUUGAACAUUGCAACAAAAAAUUUAAAAAUGAAAAUACUUCCAACAAUUAAUACUUUGUCAAAAUAUGACAAAUAAUAAUUCUUUGGUGUGUCAAGGUACAUGAGCCAUAAUAAAUUUUAUUUGGAUGUACCAAAAUGAACUAGAAAAUAUUAAAUACACAAAAAAUGGUUAAUUAAGUAAGAAAGUCUUAAAAAGAAUAGUCAUUUUCCGCUCCUUCAAGCUAUAUAGACCUAAAAAAAUGUAUAUUAAAAUGAAUAAAAACAUGCUAAAUCUUAACGUCUUGUUUCAAAUGAAUAAAUAUCAAAAUAAAUAAAGUAAAAUUAAAUACUAAAUGACCCAUAAAGUAUAAAAACAUAAAAAAGAAAACAAAAAACCAAAUGAUAUAUGUAUAAGACAAAAAAAUCUUCAUAUAGGAUUCCAACCAUCCAAAACCCGAAAAGAAUGUUAUGCAAAUGUUAAAAGAAGAUGCAAAUGGUUUAGUGUAACUUUCAAACCUAAAAUCAACCAAAAAAGACUAAAAAGUGUCUCUAGGUGACAUUUUAACUCUAAAAAAAACAUUUACAUGCCCAAGUGUGACUUUGGAACUAAAAUCCAACUAAAAAUGUGCUAAAAAUAUUAUCUUUAACUCUCAAAGCCGAUUUACAAAACAAGUUUCAAAUGCCUAACUGUGAUCAUAAAACACAAAACCAACUACAAUAAAUAAAAAAAGUGUCUGAGUGAUACUUCUACAAACCAUAAAAAAACUGUCAUAUACUUUUAAAUGCCACGUAUGUUUCUAAACAUUCAAGAACCUAAAAAUGUCAUUGUUUUCAAUCAAAACCACAAGUUUAAAGUCUAAAAAAAAGUGAAGGUUAAAAAAAGAUGGAAAAUAGCCCAAGUGUCUAAGUGUCUUAGUGAUACUUCUACAAACCAUCCAAAAACCUAACUAUGAAAUGUCACUAUAUGCAUGAGUGGCUACCAUAAUUGUAGAAUAACCACAAAAUAUGGGGAAUUGAAUCAGAUGACAAAAAAAUUUAGAAAAAAACAGUUCAUAUCACACUUUUUUUUUUUUUUGCAUAUUGCGAAUAAGACAAAUAUGACAAGUAAUUAAUGAUACGAGACAUUUAUCAAACGACUAUAAGACAAUUAUCGAAGAAUUAUCAGAUGGUUAUCUGCUCUUAAAUUUGCUAUUUUUGCAAUUUUAAAAAAAUGUAGUGACAUAGACCAUUUUAUCAUAACUUUUUUUGCUAUUUGUGCAAAUGCUCCACAAAAUAUUUCCACUCAAGUAAAAAAAUAAAUGUGAAAUAUAUGCAUGAUUGAUCAUUGUAACUUUAUGAUAGCCUCACACAAUAUUGAAACACAUGCUUUAACAAUAUUUUUUCAAAAAAAAUAUUUUAGUUUAGGAAAAUACCUAAUUGAAGGUGCAUCUUGAGAUCCAACUUUAUUAUUCUCCAAGUUCAAAAUCAUUAUAUAAAUCUCUUUACAAAAUCUUACCCACAAUGCAGUUUAAUCAAAGAUAAAUUCAUCACAUAAAACCAUUCCCCAUUCUCUUUAGCAAAACUCACUCAAUAAUUAAUUAAAUAACAUACACUAAGAUGCACACCUGAUACUCAAGUGAUUUACGCCUCCUCCCUCUUUCAUUUUGCAAUUUUUCAUGAUCAACUUCCUUUCUCUUUAAUCUACAAAAGGGAUAGACAUGAAGCAUUAGAUUCUGUGGCGUAGACAAUGCUCAAUUUACUGUAACCAGAAGAAUAACACUUAAAUGCCCCAAUUGAGUCCAACUAAAAAUUCAAAAAAAUAUCAAAUAACAAACGUUUAGAGGAAUUGUCUUUGCCACAUCACCUCUUAACAUAAUAAGAACAAAAAAGCAAAACACUUUACACUUUAACAGAACAAGCGAACAAAUAGCACAAACGCAUGAGAACAAAAAGAAGACUAAAUGUAGUAAAGGACAUUUACCUUCUUGUGUAUCCAUGCCAAUUUCUUCAAUUUACAGUAGUAAUCAAAGGUCAAACAAAACUCAAAAGCCCAAUUGAGCUAUCACAAAUUCUAAAGUAAGAAGCACACAUCCUUUGUAGUAUAAAACAAAUAAGAAAUUCAAGUGGAAUUUUCAUUUGAAAAAAUCAAUGUAAAUCUCAAUUUCAUAUAGAAACCCAAAUUUAGCAAUUACAUUAUCAACGAACUUACUUGCAUCCACAUUGAGUAAUAGAACAAUUAGAGAGCUUAUGACGAACAAAAUAGUGAUAAACCAAAGAACAACAAUACUCCAUAAAGUUUUUUUUUGCAUAAAUUGAGGGAACCUUUAUUAAAUCAAUGAUUUUGCAUAUUUGACAUUGUAACAUAUUGAACAUCAAUUCAUUCAAAUCCUUGAACACUAAUUUACUAACCUAGUAUAAAUUAUCUCCAAGUAAUGGUUGUAAAGAAACGUAAAAACCACCAUCUAUACAAGAGGAAAAAAUCUGAUGUUUCCCUACAAAAACAGAACAAGCUAUGAAAAGCUUACUUUGUACAUCUGUUAACAAUCAGAUUGACAAAUGAAGAAAGUUCAAAUAUUCAAUUUCUUUUAGUAGAAGGAGACCUUUCCAUUUCUUCAAGUUCUUCAUAUAAAAAGGUUCGCUUUCCUAACAACUAUUUCAAUUAACUAUCUCUAACAAUCCCCUUAAGCGUACUUUUGGUUCAGUUGAGUGCAAUCACAUUGUUCAAACUCUUUCAAUAUUAUUGAGCUGAAAGAUAUCCAUACCCAAUUAAACAACCUGCCAAUUGCAACUCCCAGAAUUAGAGCUUCUAUAGAUUCAAUAAUAAAAGUCUCUUUAAAUAUAUAUGGAAAAAAAUAUUGUACUAAUAUUAUUUGUUCAAAAUCACUUUAAAUAUAUAUAGAAAAAAUUAUUGUGCAAAUAUUAUUUUUUAAAAAGCCCUAGCCCCUUUCUACUCUAAACACGCGUGUUCCCCUUUCCCUCUCCAGCCGAAAUCCUUCCCAUUCGAAAAAAGUGUGUUCAGCGGUCGUCGUUCGCUUUCAACGCCUGUCCGUUCGCCUUCAACAUCUGUCCGUUCGAUUUCACCGUCGAGUUCCACCUCUUCGAAUCCCUCACGUCCGUCAUUUCAAAGUCCUCCGUCCGCUGCAUUCCAUCUUUCCAAAAUCCCUCAGUGCCUCACGUUGCUGCACGCCCGUCAUUUCGACUUCACCAACGAGUGCCUCACGUUCGUCGCUUCAAAAUCCAUCAUCCACUAAGUUGAGGUUAGGCUUUUAUUUCCCUAAAACAUAUAACAAUUUCAUUAUUCUUCAUUAUAUAAACUCAGAUGGCAUGAUUGGCAAUAAUAGAUAGGAAGGAUGGAGGUGUAAACUUCGAAUUGAUUGAAAUUAGUAUACUUUUAUUCAAUCUUUAAAGUAUUGUAGUUUUUCUUCACCAUCAAAUUUUAUUAGGAUUUAAAGAAAACAAAUGAAUGUAUGAACAAAUUUUUGGGAGUGCAAGCCAUAUAAUCAACUUCCCUCUUUCAGUAAUUUUGAAGAUAUCAUAUAACAAUACUACUAAUUGAGAGCUUUGGAGGAUAAGUCAAUUAUUCUCCCUUCGUGAAGAGAAAAAGAAAAAAAGAUCAUGUAUUCUCUUUGUUUGUUACCUUAGGCUGUUCAAGAUUUUGCCUUCUUCCUGAAUAAUUUGGAGGUGUUUUAACUAAUUUCUUCAUUCACCCUCUUUUUGCCAUUGUUGCUUUUGUGUGCAGCUUGAGAUUUACUGUGAAGAUAAGGAUAGCGCAAGGAAAUAUGAGAUUGAGGCACUUGGAGGACAAACAACUUCAUAAACCACGUUUUUAGUGCAUUUUAUGAUAGAUUGAAAGAGGUCAGUGACAAUAUUUCAUUAGACUAUUGUCUAUGCACAUUAGAAUUAAUGUACAUCUUCCAUAUGAAAGUUGGCAAAUGAAUUUAGAAGUGAAAAUAGAGAAAAAGAGGUGGAGUUUAAGCACAACAUUAUGUUAUUAUUAAUUCAUAUAAAUUAGAAAACUAUUGUACUAUAGCAAAAGUUUGAGGUUUAUUAAAACAAUUACAAAGUAAGCUUGUAAUUUUUACACCAAAUGUUCACUAUUAAAUAGGUUCAGGAAUUAGAUAAGAAUAAUUCAAUUGUGUGUUUUUACUUUUUUCUAUUGGGUGAAUUCUGUUUUGAUUUUUUUUAAGCUAAAUAUAAUUAAUUGUUUCCUAUGGAACCAUAACCUUGAUCUUGGUUAUUGAUUUCAUUUUAAGGUAAAAGUAAAACCACUCUUAUUUGAAUGAUUAUGUUGUAUUAUCCAUUGAAAGACUUGGUGUUGUAAUUGCCUUGUCUUCCUCAGGUAUUCUGUUGUAUGGUUGAUUACGAUCUUCAUGACUGGAAUCUUUGUUUAGUGAUGCUCAUUUUUUUUGACUUACCCAGCCAUGCAAUAACUUUCUUUCUUAUGAUCACUUUAAAAAAGAAAUGAGUUUAGUUAGUUCUUUUAAUUUUCUUAAGUUUCAUUUAUAAUGCAUGAAAAUCUCUUAGCAGUAGAAACUGAAGACCAUAAUUGUAGAAGAUUUGAAUAGAUUGGAUUCACAUUCUCAACAUUGGUUAUACAGGGCAUUACUUAUCAUUGUCCUUCCACUUUAAUUAUCAAUAGUGACAAUAACUUUAUUUCUCAUUAGAUUUACAAUGAUGGAUAAAUCUUGGAUGCACAAGAGUAGAUUGUCUAAAGAUUAUGAGUUGGGUGUGGAAAACUUCAUCAAAUUUGGAUUUUCUAAUACAACUAGCUCCUAUAUUCGUUGUCCUUGUUUGAAAUGUGGGAAUUGUGAAAAACAUAGUAGAAAGGGUGUUAGAGAUCACUUGUAUGUUAAUGGUAUUGAUGAAAGUUAUAAAAUUUGGUUUUGGCAUGGGGAAGAACUUCCUAACUCAUCCUUCUAUGAUGAAUCUUCAAAGUUUGACAUCCAUACAUGUGAAGAUCAGUAUGUUGGAAGUGUAAAAGAAAUGAUUGAAGUUACUCAUGAGGAGUAUUCAAAAAACCCAACUGGAUUUGAGAAGUUGCUUAUUGAUGCUGAAAAACCAUUGUACGAAGGAUGCAAAAAGUACACAAAGUUGUCUACUCUAGUCAAAUUGUAUAAUUUAAAAGUUAGGUAUGGAUGGAGUGAUCAUACUAGUUUUUUAGAAUUACUUGAAACUUUGAAGGAAAUUCUGCCUACUACCAAUGAGCUCCCGAAUUCAUUGUAUGAAGCAAAGAAGACAUUAGGUGCAUUAGGAAUGGAAUACGAAAAGAUUCAUGCAUGCCCGAAUAAUUGUUGUCUCUAUAGAAAAGAAUUUUCUAAUGCAAUUGAAUGUCCUGAAUGUGGUCAAUCAAGGUGGAAAAACGUCAAGGAUACAAAUGAAAGGAGAAAGCAAAUUCCCUCUAAAGUGAUAUGGUACUUUCCAAUCAUUCCACGAUUUAAAAGGCUAUUCAGAAGCAUUGAAUGUGCUGAAAACUUGACUUGGCAUUCUACUGAAAGAAUUAAUGAUUGUAAGUUACGACAUCCAGCAUGGAAGUUAGUAGACAUGAAAUGGCCAGACUUCGGUUUUGAACCCAGAAAUCUUCGUUUAGCAUUGUCAGCCGAUGGAGUAAAUCCUCAUGGUGACAUGAGUUCUAAAUACAGUUGUUGGCCGGUAGUGAUGGUUAUUUACAAUCUUCCGCCAUGGUUGUGUAUGAAAAGAAAGUACAUGAUGCUAUCAAUGCUAAUUACAGGACCAAAACAACCAGAGGAUGACAUAGGCAUAUACUUAGCACCACUAAUUGAAGAUUUAAAACUUUUAUGGGAAAGUGGUGUUGAAUGUUAUGAUGCUUAUCAAGAAGAACCAUUCAACUUAAGGUCAGUUUUGUUGUGGACAAUCAAUGAUUUUUCUGCAUAUGGUAACCUUAGUGGAUGUUGUGUGAAAGGGUAUAAAGCAUGCCCAAUUUGUGGAGAUAAUACAAAUUCUAUAAGGUUAAAGUAUGGGAAGAAAAUGACAUACCUUGGACAUCGUAGAUUUUUGGCGCGAAAUCAUCCGUAUCGACGACAAAAGAAGUCAUUCCACUUAACAUAGAAUUGCUUCAAGCUAAGCACACUUAACUUUGGAGUUCCUAUCAUUGAGCCACCGAAAAGGAAGGUGUAGCUUGUUGGUAUAGAUAUUAACUUUUAUUUCUUUUAAGUCUUUCUUAACAUUACUUUCCUGUCCUCAAGAUCCCUCUCAUUAGAACGUGAUAUCGGUUCAUUCAUGCCUCUCUCCUACUCUCAAAUGUUAUAUUGUUAAAGUGGAGUGAAGUUACAAUUACAUCUAAAUAAUUCAGAGGUCAUGCAUUUUCUUUUUUCUUUUUAAGAAAACUAUAAUAUUUAAUUAUUUAAAAGAAGUGAAGAAAUGGACCAAAACCGACUGAUCGCUAGAAUCGGUUGAAAGUCGGUUUUGUUGACCAGAAUGGCAACCGAAAUUAGUUCUGCCAUUCCCAUACCGACUUGUGGUCGGUCAGAGUCGGUUUGGCUAGAAAACCGACUCCGACCGAUCCUUGAUCACCCCUAGUUUCUUUAUAAUUCUUUUUAAAAACUUUGUUACGUUUGUAAUUGUUUUAGCACGACAUAAUUUUAUUGUCACAUAAUCUAUAUUUCCAACUUGAAUCUAUAUUUCCAACUUUCCAACUUUUAUAUUGUCAAUAUAUUACAUAUAUUCUGAUAGUUUCCUUAAAUCUUGUCAAUACACAUAAUUUUCACCAACUAAUUCUCUUUUAACACAAAAUUGGUAUGCAUGUAAAUAAGAAGUUUCAUAUUUAACAAUAAUAUAGAUAGAAUUUUUAUAAAGAAACUAAGUUCAAUAAAUCUAUUGAAUAUUUCCAAAUGGACAAAUAUAAGCAAAUUAGUAACAAAAACCUUGGUAACGUUUUUACGAAGAAACUAAAUACAACAAGAUAUUGUCGGGAAUAUUAUACUUUGUUGUAUUUAGUUUCUUUGUAAAAAUAUUACAAAGAUUUUAGUUACUAACCAAAUGUCAAUCAAUUGUUUGGUAACUUCAUCAGCAUAGUUUAUCAUAUUCGUGCAAGACCUAAUAAAAACAUAAAACGAAACCUUAAAUCAACAAUAUGUGAAUCCGCCGUUAACUACAAUAGAAAGUUUUCAAGAGUUAAAAUGACCUAAGUGAAACUUGAGAACCAAAAACUAACAAAACAAUCUUAAACUUUAAGGCAAAAAUUUAACAAAACGUACCACGACAAAGAUGUGAGUAAAACACUUUAACAGAAUUCUAGUGUAAUCCAUUUAAUCACAACAAAAUAAGAUAUCUAUGAGCUGGUAAUACAUUCUCAAUGUUGCAUUUUCAUAAAAAUCUAACAAGAACCCUACUUAAUAGUUUCUUAUAUUUACACAGUAUAGAAUAAUUUUGAAAAAGAAAAAAGCUCAUAUCGUACGAAAUACCUAAAAUACCCCACGAUUAAUUAGUCACACACGCUCACAAAAAAUUUGGUACAUGAUAAUUUAAAUAUUUGUACACGAUCGUGUACCAAAUCUAAACAAUCUUGGUACAUGAUCUUGUAACAAUUCUAAACGAACUUGGUAAACAGUCUUCGAAUAUGAUCAUGAACAUGGAUCGUUUAGAUAUUGGUACACGAUCACUUACUAAGAUCUAAAUGAUCGAUCGUGUACAAAUUUGAAAAUGAUCUUGGUUCACGAUGUACGAAGACCAUUUAUAUUUAGUACAUAAUCGUGUACCAAUAUCGUUAAGAUUUAGUAUACGAUUGUUUAGUUCUAUCAAAGAAAAUAUAUGUGAGAUGACGAAGAAAAAGAAAUCCUGGAGGAGGAAAUGAAUUAAUCACGAACAAGAACAAAUGAAAGAAUGAAACAUAAGAAGUAAUAAUAUGAAAAAAUUAAUAUUAUGAAAAGGAGAUGAAUAGACCACAAAGAAGUGAAAAAUCGUUCGCACUGUCAAAGACAAUGCUGAAAUUUAUGAAAAUAUUUUAUCGGCUUCAUUGGCUUUUUGAUUUUUUACACUAGCCGUAAAUAUUUUGAUGUUUUAUAUAUUUAUGAAAAUUAAAAAAUUAAAACUAAUUUUAAUUUGAGAGAAGUUUAUUUGGUUUUUGAAAAUAUAGAUAACAAACCAAUAGAUUUAUUAGUGGUUAUAAAGCUCUUAAAUAGAUUUUAAAAAACUAAACAACUUUUUACAAUUUUUGGAAUAAGAUAAAAACUCCUUGAGAGCGGAUAAAAAAGAAACAACUAAUAAAUGUCUCGUCUUUGAAAGAUAAAAACAUCAAUCAUAAUACAAUUUAUUUUUCCAACAUCGUCAAAUAAAUUAAUAAAAAUUUAUAUCAAAUUACAAAAACUUUCGAAGAAAAAAACAACUCAUGACACUUAUUUUUUUGCAUAUUGCGAAUAUGACAAAAUUAAUAAUAUCAGACGACUAUCAAACGGUAAUUCAUUAGAAUAUCGAAAGGCUAUCAGACGAUAACUAUAAAGUUAUCGACUUUUAAUUUUGCUACUUCUGCAAUUUAGAAAAUGUAGUGUUAUAAAACCUUAUUAUCGUUAUUUUUUUACUAUUUUUACAAGGCCCCUAAAUUAAUUUGCAAAAUCGAAUGUAAAAUAAAUUAAAAUAACAUUACUUUGAGAAAAAGAAAUCAAACACUUUUCUUGAUCUAACUUAAUAACUGCUUUCGUGAUCUAAUUUCCAAGUUCAUGGUAUUUUUGUCAUUUAGUUCUUGUGAACUAAUUCUUCAUGACAACAAUUAAACAAAAAUUUGUUGUUUUCAAUAUCAUACCAAUGGCGGCCAGAACACAUCGACCAUCAUCAACAAAAUUAUCCCAAACCGAAGCUCCAACCUAUUUAAACAUAUCACGAGGCCUUUCAAUGUAUCUCAUCUCUUCAUAACAAAAACUUCAAAUCAUCUUAUCAAAGGGAAAAAAAAUGGCUACUUCAAGGUUCUUGAUCAUGUGCCUUUACGGCUACUUUGGCUCUCUCAAGCAUCAAUUUCGGCCAUGCUGCUCGCCAUCUUUCGCAAACCACUCCGCCCUUGGUGCCAAAUCUUCCAGCAAUUCCAACUCUGAUACCGCCAUUGCCUGGCUUGCCAAACCCUACUCUUCUCAAAGUUACCACAACCGACAUUACCGAAGAUUAAUUUUCCUCCACUUCCAAUCGGGCUAGCGUUGCCACCGCUUCCGACAAUGACACUUCCAAAGUUUCCACCAAUCCCUACCAUUCCAAUUUCAUUUCCUUCCAUCCCAUUUUUGUCCCCUCCUCCUGCGACAUCUUCUUCUCCAUAAACUUGGUUUGGUUAUUAUUUAACUUAUGCAGCCCCAAUUGUUGUUGGUUAAUUAGUGUAAGGGUGAAGUUGUAAUGUUUUAUCUAUAACUUAUAACUGUGUGUUUUAAUUUCAAUAUUUAUGUCUUUUGUAAGAUUGAGGUUCAAACCUCCAUGGACUAUCAUAUUACUGUUCUAUUUGAUCAAGUCUAUUCUUGUACUACCAAUACGACAAACGGUUCUUAAUUUUGAUUUUUAAUAAAUUUUGUCUCGACCUCUCGUUUCCAUCGAGAUCACCACCACGUAGUGGUGGAUCUAGUAAAUGCAAGAAGUGGACCUUGAAAGUAGGUACAACGAGCGUUAAAAUUUUUUUUACCACCGGCCUAACUUCUAAAAUUGUUAGAGUUCAUUUUUUUUUAUACGUAUAUGUAAUAUAAAAAUAAUAUAAAGUAGAGAGGUCCCUCUAGAUCUAUACUAAAUCCUAAAGACGUCUAUGGGACGGGGUGGGGCUGGGAUGACACUCUCUAUCCCCACCCCUCGUCCCGUUGUUGAUCCCCCCAAAUUUGUGUGCAAGGAAUGGGGCAAGGAUUCCCCACAGGGAUCGGGUUCUUCACGUGGAAAUAGUGUCGGGGAAUAUCCCUGUCUUCCAAUUUUCAUCAAGAAAAAAAUACUCCCCACUCCCUCCACAUUUCUCAUGAAUUCAAAGUUUUCCGACUCGUUUGAGGUGGAUCCCCACCUAGCCUUGACCCUUGGCUUAAAUGGACACCUCUAGGCUUAAAUGGACACCUCUAGUUGGUGCCAUCCAUGUUUCAAUAUUUAUGCAAGAAUAAAGUUUUAAAAUGUUGAUAUCGUUAGAAAUGUGUCGAGGUCUCAACUGUACGAAAUUAUCGAUAGAUAUAUAACUAUGAUAUUGACAUUGAUGGAUUUUUCCUAAAUAUAUAGAAAAAGAUUAAAGAAAUAAUAUUUGUUGUAAAGUGAUCGCGACAUAGAGCGGUCGAUGUCCUUGUUUAUUUAAUCUUAAAAAAUAAAUAGGUUCGGAGUUGCCACCAAGCAUAUUAAGGUGUGAUUGGUCACCUAAAGAUUUAAUAAAAUGGCUUACAUGAAUUCUUGUUUAGGUUCGAGAGUCAGUUAUGUGUAGGAGGUGUUAGCACCUUACAACACCCAUCAAAAUGGAAAAUAUGAUCUAAUAAAUAAAUUAUGUCACAUCAUCACAGUAAAUAUGAUCCAAUAAAUAAAUGGGCUCAAGCCCAAGUUCAAGAAGUGGAUGGGCCCAAGUCCAAGCCCAAUUUGCAAAUAGGCUCAAGUCCAAGCCCAACAAGCAAAUGGGCUAGAGUCUAAGCCCACCAAGCAAAUGAGCUCAAGCCCACCUAAAGCCCAUAAAAUUUCUCUAUAAAUAGAGACCCUUGCCAUUCAUUUUAGAGGGUCUUUAGUUGAAUGAAUAAUUAAAGCUCUGAAGUACUGAAACUCUGAAGAAUUGAAGAUUAAAACUUCUAUAAAGCUCUCAAGACGUGUAAGUUCUUAUCAACUUCGAGAUCAUCAUCUUCUGAAAGUUUGAAGACUUGGAAGAUCAAACUUUUCUUGAAUUCCAGAAGACUGAAGCUCAAAUAGACUUGCAACUACAACAUCCUAAAGACCGAAGAUCAAGAAGUUCUAAGUUUUUAACUUGUAUUCGAGGGAAAGCAUCCAAGGAGUAAAUACUAGAGAUUGUAUUCACAAUAUUCAUCAAUAUAACAAAGUUCAAUUUUACGAAAUACGUUUCUUCGAAAUCUCGUGUGAACACUUAUUAUUGCGAAAGUCCUCUCCACAAACUAACACGAGUCAUUUCUGUAUGUUUUGUCUUCACUCAUAUGCAUUAUAGGAAUGUUUCCAGAAUGCCACCCAACUAUAAUUGCUCUAAGCUAAGCACACUUAACUUUUAACUUCCUAUGAUUGAGCCACCGAAAAGGAAGGUGCAGCUUGUUGGUAUAGAAAUUAACUUUUAUUUCUUUUAAGUCUUUCUUAAACAUUACUUUCAUGUCCUCAAGAUAUAUCCCUCUCAUUAGAAUGUGAUAUCGUUUCAUUCAUGUCUCUCUCCUAAUCUCGGACGUUACACUGUUAAAGUGGAGUGAAGUUACAAUUACAUCCAAAUAAUUCAGAGGUCAUGCAUUUUCAUUUUUUUUUUUAAAAAACACUAUAAUAUUUAAUUAUUUAAAAGAAGUGAAGAAAUCGAAAAAACCGACUGAUCGCCAAAAUCGGUUCAAAGUCGGUUUUGUUGGUCAGAAUCGUAGUCGAAAUCAGUUCUGCCAUUCCCAUACCAACUUGUGGUCGGUUGGAGUCGAUUUGGCUAGAAACCGACUCCGAACGAUAUCGUUCAUCACCUCUAGUUUCUUUAUAAUUCUUUAAAAAAAUUCGAUAAACUUUGUUAUGUUUGUAAUUGUUCUAUCACGACAUAAUUUUAUUGUCACAUAAUCCAUAUUUCCAACUUUUAUAUUGUCAAUAUAUUUCAUAUAUUAUGAUAGUUUCUUUAAAUCUUGUCAUUACACAUAGUUUUCACCAUCAACUAAUUCUCUUUUAACAUAAAAUUCAUAUGCAUGUAAAUAAGAAGUUUCAUAUAUAUCAAUAACAUAGAUAGCAUUUUUAUAAAGAAACUAAGCUCAAUGAAUCUAUCGAAUAUCCCCAAACGGACAAAUAUAAGCAAGUUAGUAACUAAAACCUUGGUAACCUUUUUUAAAAGAAACUAAAUACAACAAGAUAUUAUCGAGAAUAUUAUACCGAUCGUGUACCAAGCCUAAACAAUCUUGGUACAUGAUCUUGUAACAAUUCUAAACGAAGUUGGUAAACAAUCUUCGUACAUGAUCAUGAACAUGGAUCGUUUAGAUAUUGGUACACGAUCGCUUACUAAGAUCUAAAUAAUCGAUCGUGUACCAAUUUGUAAAUGAUCUUGGUUCACGAUGUACGAAGAUCAUUUAUAUUUAGUACAUAAUCGUGUACCAAUAUCGUUUAGAUUUGGUACACGAUCGUUUAGUUUUAUUAGAGAAAAUAUAUGAGAGAUGACGAAGAAAAGGAAAUUCUGGAGGAGGAAAUGAAGAAAUCACGAACAAGAACAAAUGGAAAUAUGGACAUAAGAAGUAAUAAUAUGAAGAAAUUAAUAUUAUGAAAAGGAGAUGAAAAAAACACAAAGAAGUGAAAAAUCAUCCGCAAUGUCAAAGACAAUGCUGAAAUUUAUGAAAAUAUUUUAUCGACUUUUUAAUUUUUUACACUAGCCAUAAAUAUUUUGGUGUUUUAUAUAUUUAUGAAAAUUAACCAAAAUGAAAACUACUUAUUCUAAUUUGAAAGAAUUUGAUUUGGUUUUUUAAAACCUAGAUAACAAACCAAUAGAUUUAUUAGUGGGUAUAAAGCUCUUAAAUAGAUUUUAAAAAACUAAACAACUUUUUACAAUUUUUGGAAUAAGAUAAAAACUCCUUGAGAGCGGAUAAAAAAAGAAACAACUAAUAAAUGUCUCGUCUUUGAAAGAUAAAAACAUCAAUCAUAAUACAAUUUAUUUUUCCAACAUCGUCAAAUAAAUUAAUAAAAAUUUAUAUCAAAUUACAAAAACUUUCGAAGAAAAAAACAACUCAUGACACUUAUUUUUUGCAUAUUGCGAAUAUGACAAAAUUAAUAAUAUCAGACGACUAUCAAACGGUAAUCAUUAGAAUAUCGAAAGGCUAUCAGACGAUAACUAUAAAGUUAUCGACUUUUAAUUUUGCUACUUCUGAAAUUUAGAAAAUGUAGUGUUAUAAACCUUAUUAUCGUUAUUUUUUUACUAUUUUUACAAGGCCCCUAAAUUAAUUUGCAAAAUCGAAUGUAAAAUAAAUUAAAAUAACAUUACUUUGAGAAAAAGAAAUCAAACACUUUUCUUGAUCUAACUUAAUAACUGCUUUCGUGAUCUAAUUUCCAAGUUCAUGGUAUUUUUGUCAUUUAGUUCUUGUGAACUAAUUCUUCAUGACAACAAUUAAACAAAAAUUUGUUGUUUUCAAUAUCAUACCAAUGGCGGCCAGAACACAUCGACCAUCAUCAACAAAAUUAUCCCAAACCGAAGCUCCAACCUAUUUAAACAUAUCACGAGGCCUUUCAAUGUAUCUCAUCUCUUCAUAACAAAAACUUCAAAUCAUCUUAUCAAUGGGAAAAAAAAUGGCUACUUCAAGGUUCUUGAUCAUUGCCUUUACGGCUACUUUGGCUCUCUCAAGCAUCAAUUUCGGCCAUGCUGCUCGCCAUCUUUCGCAAACCACUCCGCCCUUGGUGCCAAAUCUUCCAGCAAUUCCAACUCUGAUACCGCCAUUGCCUGGCUUGCCAAACCCUACUCUUCCAAAGUUACCACAACCGACAUUACCGAAGAUUAAUUUUCCUCCACUUCCAAUCGGGCUAGCGUUGCCACCGCUUCCGACAAUGACACUUCCAAAGUUUCCACCAAUCCCUACCAUUCCAAUUUCAUUUCCUUCCAUCCCAUUUUUGUCCCCUCCUCCUGCGACAUCUUCUUCUCCAUAAACUUGGUUUGGUUAUUAUUUAACUUAUGCAGCCCCAAUUGUUGUUGGUUAAUUAGUGUAAGGGUGAAGUUGUAAUGUUUUAUCUAUAAUUUAUCUAUAACUUAUAACUGUGUGUUUUAAUUUCAAUAUUUAUGUCUUUUGUAAGAUUGAGGUUCAAACCUCCAUGGACUAUCAUAUUACUGUUCUAUUUGAUCAAGUCUAUCUUGUACUACCAAUACGACAAACGGUUCUUAAUUUUGAUUUUUAAUAAAUUUUGUCUCGACCUCUCGUUUCCAUCGAGAUCACCACCACGUAGUGGUGGAUCUAGUAAAUGCAAGAAGUGGACCUUGAAAGUAGGUACAACGAGCGUUAAAAUUUUUUUUACCACCGGCCUAACUUCUAAAAUUGUUAGAGUUCAUUUUUUUUUAUACAUAUAUGUAAUAUAAAAAUAAUAUAAAGUAGAGAGGUCCCUCUAGAUCUAUACUAAAUCCUAAAGACGUCUAUGGGACGGGGUGGGGCUGGGAUGACACUCUCUAUCCCCACCCUCGUCCCGUUGUUGAUCCCCCCAAAUUUGUGUGCAAGGAAUGGGGCAAGGAUUCCCCACAGGGAUCGGGUUCUUCACGUGGAAAUAGUGUCGGGGAAUAUCCCUGUCUUCCAAUUUUCAUCAAGAAAAAAAUACUCCCCACUCCCUCCACAUUUCUCAUGAAUUCAAAGUUUUCCGACUCGUUUGAGGUGGAUCCCCACCUAGCCUUGACCCUUGGCUUAAAUGGACACCUCUAGGCUUAAAUGGACACCUCUAGUUGGUGCCAUCCAUGUUUCAAUAUUUAUGCAAGAAUAAAGUUUUAAAAUGUUGAUAUCGUUAGAAAUGUGUCGAGGUCUCAACUGUACGAAAUUAUCGAUAGAUAUAUAACUAUGAUAUUGACAUUGAUGGAUUUUUCCUAAAUAUAUAGAAAAAGAUUAAAGAAAUAAUAUUUGUUGUAAAGUGAUCGCGACAUAGAGCGGUCGAUGUCCUUGUUUAUUUAAUCUUAAAAAAUAAAUAGGUUCGGAGUUGCCACCAAGCAUAUUAAGGUGUGAUUGGUCACCUAAAGAUUUAAUAAAAUGGCUUACAUGAAUUCUUGUUUAGGUUCGAGAGUCAGUUAUGUGUAGGAGGUGUUAGCACCUUACAACACCCAUCAAAAUGGAAAAUAUGAUCUAAUAAAUAAAUUAUGUCACAUCAUCACAGUAAAUAUGAUCCAAUAAAUAAAUGGGCUCAAGCCCAAGUUCAAGAAGUGGAUGGGCCCAAGUCCAAGCCCAAUUUGCAAAUAGGCUCAAGUCCAAGCCCAACAAGCAAAUGGGCUAGAGUCUAAGCCCACCAAGCAAAUGAGCUCAAGCCCACCUAAAGCCCAUAAAAUUUCUCUAUAAAUAGAGACCCUUGCCAUUCAUUUUAGAGGGUCUUUAGUUGAAUGAAUAAUUAAAGCUCUGAAGUACUGAAACUCUGAAGAAUUGAAGAUUAAAACUUCUAUAAAGCUCUCAAGACGUGUAAGUUCUUAUCAACUUCGAGAUCAUCAUCUUCUGAAAGUUUGAAGACUUGGAAGAUCAAACUUUUCUUGAAUUCCAGAAGACUGAAGCUCAAAUAGACUUGCAACUACAACAUCCUAAAGACCGAAGAUCAAGAAGUUCUAAGUUUUUAACUUGUAUUCGAGGGAAAGCAUCCAAGGAGUAAAUACUAGAGAUUGUAUUCACAAUAUUCAUCAAUAUAACAAAGUUCAAUUUUACGAAAUACGUUUCUUCGAAAUCUCGUGUGAACACUUAUUAUUGCGAAAGUCCUCUCCACAAACUAACACGAGUCAUUUCUGUAUGUUUUGUCUUCACUCAUAUGCAUUAUAGGAAUGUUUCCAGAAUGCCACCCAACUAUAAUUGCUCUAAGCUAAGCACACUUAACUUUUAACUUCCUAUGAUUGAGCCACCGAAAAGGAAGGUGCAGCUUGUUGGUAUAGAAAUUAACUUUUAUUUCUUUUAAGUCUUUCUUAACAUUACUUUCAUGUCCUCAAGAUAUAUCCCUCUCAUUAGAAUGUGAUAUCGUUUCAUUCAUGUCUCUCUCCUAAUCUCGGACGUUACACUGUUAAAGUGGAGUGAAGUUACAAUUACAUCCAAAUAAUUCAGAGGUCAUGCAUUUUCAUUUUUUUUUUUAAAAAACACUAUAAUAUUUAAUUAUUUAAAAGAAGUGAAGAAAUCGAAAAAACCGACUGAUCGCCAAAAUCGGUUCAAAGUCGGUUUUGUUGGUCAGAAUCAUAGUCGAAAUCAGUUCUGCCAUUCCCAUACCAACUUGUGGUCGGUUGGAGUCGAUUUGGCUAGAAACCGACUCCGAACGAUAUCGUUCAUCACCUCUAGUUUCUUUAUAAUUCUUUAAAAAAAUUCGAUAAACUUUGUUAUGUUUAUAAUUGUUCUAUCACGACAUAAUUUUAUUGUCACAUAAUCCAUAUUUCCAACUUUUAUAUUGUCAAUAUAUUUCAUAUAUUAUGAUAGUUUCUUUAAAUCUUGUCAUUACACAUAGUUUUCACCAUCAACUAAUUCUCUUUUAACAUAAAAUUCAUAUGCAUGUAAAUAAGAAGUUUCAUAUAUAUCAAUAACAUAGAUAGCAUUUUUAUAAAGAAACUAAGCUCAAUGAAUCUAUCGAAUAUCCCCAAACGGACAAAUAUAAGCAAGUUAGUAACUAAAACCUUGGUAACCUUUUUUAAAAGAAACUAAAUACAACAAGAUAUUAUCGAGAAUAUUAUACCGAUCGUGUACCAAGCCUAAACAAUCUUGGUACAUGAUCUUGUAACAAUUCUAAACGAAGUUGGUAAACAAUCUUCGUACAUGAUCAUGAACAUGGAUCGUUUAGAUAUUGGUACACGAUCGCUUACUAAGAUCUAAAUAAUCGAUCGUGUACCAAUUUGUAAAUGAUCUUGGUUCACGAUGUACGAAGAUCAUUUAUAUUUAGUACAUAAUCGUGUACCAAUAUCGUUUAGAUUUGGUACACGAUCGUUUAGUUUUAUUAGAGAAAAUAUAUGAGAGAUGACGAAGAAAAGGAAAUUCUGGAGGAGGAAAUGAAGAAAUCACGAACAAGAACAAAUGGAAAUAUGGACAUAAGAAGUAAUAAUAUGAAGAAAUUAAUAUUAUGAAAAGGAGAUGAAAAAAACACAAAGAAGUGAAAAAUCAUCCGCAAUGUCAAAGACAAUGCUGAAAUUUAUGAAAAUAUUUUAUCGACUUUUUAAUUUUUUACACUAGCCAUAAAUAUUUUGGUGUUUUAUAUAUUUAUGAAAAUUAACCAAAAUGAAAACUACUUAUUCUAAUUUGAAAGAAUUUGAUUUGGUUUUUUAAAACCUAGAUAACAAACCAAUAGAUUUAUUAGUGGGUAUAAAGCUCUUAAAUAGAUUUUAAAAAACUAAACAACUUUUUACAAUUUUUGGAAUAAGAUAAAAACUCCUUGAGAGCGGAUAAAAAAGAAACAACUAAUAAAUGUCUCGUCUUUGAAAGAUAAAAACAUCAAUCAUAAUACAAUUUAUUUUUCCAACAUCGUCAAAUAAAUUAAUAAAAAUUUAUAUCAAAUUACAAAAACUUUCGAAGAAAAAAACAACUCAUGACACUUAUUUUUUUGCAUAUUGCGAAUAUGACAAAAUUAAUAAUAUCAGACGACUAUCAAACGGUAAUCAUUAGAAUAUCGAAAGGCUAUCAGACGAUAACUAUAAAGUUAUCGACUUUUAAUUUUGCUACUUCUGCAAUUUAGAAAAUGUAGUGUUAUAAACCUUAUUAUCGUUAUUUUUUUACUAUUUUUACAAGGCCCCUAAAUUAAUUUGCAAAAUCGAAUGUAAAAUAAAUUAAAAUAACAUUACUUUGAGAAAAAGAAAUCAAACACUUUUCUUGAUCUAACUUAAUAACUGCUUUCGUGAUCUAAUUUCCAAGUUCAUGGUAUUUUUGUCAUUUAGUUCUUGUGAACUAAUUCUUCAUGACAACAAUUAAACAAAAUUUUUUUGUUUUCAAUAUCAUACCAAUGGCGGCCAGAACACAUCGACCAUCAUCAACAAAAUUAUCCCAGACCGAAGCUCCAACCUAUUUAAACAUAUCACGAGGCCUUUCAAUGUAUCUCAUCUCUUCAUAACAAAAACUUCAAAUCAUCUUAUCAAAGGGAAAAAAAAUGGCUACUUCAAGGUUCUUGAUCAUUGCCUUUACGGCUACUUUGGCUCUCUCAAGCAUCAAUUUCGGCCAUGCUGCUCGCCAUCUUUCGCAAACCACUCCGCCCUUGGUGCCAAAUCUUCCAGCAAUUCCAACUCUGAUACCGCCAUUGCCUGGCUUGCCAAACCCUACUCUUCCAAAGUUACCACAACCGACAUUACCGAAGAUUAAUUUUCCUCCACUUCCAAUCGGGCUAGCGUUGCCACCGCUUCCGACAAUGACACUUCCAAAGUUUCCACCAAUCCCUACCAUUCCAAUUUCAUUUCCUUCCAUCCCAUUUUUGUCCCCUCCUCCUGCGACAUCUUCUUCCCCAUAAACUUGGUUUGGUUAUUAUUUAACUUAUGCAGCCCCAAAUGUUGUUGGUUAAUUAGUUUAAAGGUGGAGUUGUAAAGUUUUAUUUAUAACUCAUAACUGUGUGUUUUAAUUUCAAUAUUUAUGUUUUUUGUAAGAUUGAGGUUCAAACCUCCAUGGACUAUCAUAUUACUGUUCUAUUUGAUCAAGUCUAUCUUGUACUACCUAUACGACAAACUGUUCUUAAUUUUGAUUUUUAAUAAAUUUUGUCUCAACCUCUCGUUUCCAUCGAGAUCACCACCUGUAGUGGUGGAUCGAGUAAAUGCAAGAAGUGGACCUUGAAAUUAGGUACAACGAGAGUUAAAUUUUUUUUUACCACCAGGCUAACUUCUAAAAUUGUUAGAGUUCAUUUUUUUAUACAUAUAUGUAAUAUAAAAAUAAUAUAAAGUAGAGAGGUCCCUCUAGAUCUAUACGAAAACCUAAAGAAGUCUACCGUUGUCGAUCCCCCCAAAUUGGGGCAAGGAUUCCCCACAGGGAUCGAGUUCUUCACGUGGAAAUAGGGUCGGUGAAUAUCCCUGUCUUUGAACUUUCAUCGAGAAAAAAAUACUCCCCACUCCCUCCACAUUUCUCAUGAAUUCGAAGUUUCCCAACUCGUUUGAGGUGGAUCCCCACCUAGCCUUGACCCUUGGCUUAAAUGGACAUCUCUAGUUGGUGUCAUCAUGUUUCAAUAUUUAUGCGAGAAUAAAGUUUUAAAAUGUUGAUAUCAUUAGAAAUGUGCCGAGGUCUCAACUGUACGAAAUUAUCGAUAGAUAUAUAACUAUGAUAUUGACGUUGAUGGAUUUUUCUUAAACAAAUAGACAAAAAUUAAAGAAAUAAUAUUUGUUGUAAAGUGAUCGCGACGUAGAGCGAUCGAUGUCCUUGUUUAUUUAAUCUUAAAAAAUAAAAAGAUUUAUGAUUAUAGGGUCUAUGCCACUACAUUUUCUAAAUUGCAAAAGUAACAAAUUUAAAAGCUAAUAACCCUCUAAUACCUCUUUGAUAGUCGUCUGAUAGUCGUUUGAUAACUCUCUAAUAUCAUUAAUUACUUAUCAUAUUUGUCAUAUUUGCAAUAUGGAAAAAAGAGGUGAAAAUAACAUUUUUCAGACGAGCAACCACGUCAUCAAGCGAGGAGGGCUCACUAGAUGACAAGAAUGGUAGUUGGAGUUGAUAUGACUUCACAAGGCUACAAGCGACACUAACAAUCUCAAAAGAACAAACGUUUUCGACCAAAAGUUGCUGAUAAAAAUACUUCAUCCCCACUCAGAGAAGCAAGUCUGAGUGGAACCAAAAUAGGCCUGUACAGAGCUAGUGGAUGACUGUUGCAGAUAAAGGUAUGAGAAUGCAAUCCAUAGAGAGAGAGAACGGCAGAAAAGAAUAGCCUUUCCGCCGUGUGUAAAGCCUUCUUCUUUUUUUCGAUUAUUUGUAAAAAAAAAAUAAGACCCUCCCCCUUCUCUCCUUUCUUCUUCUGGAUUUUCUUUGACCUAGGGAAUGAAGGUGCAAACUUUGUUCUAGAGGAUGAACUCUUGUGAAACCUCCUAGAAUGGGCAACAUUUGUCUCUCAUUCUUUUUGUCCCUUAUUUUUCAUAAGAGACUGAAAAGUCUGCAAUUCAUUUGGAAGGGUAGUCAUUUUGCACUCUAUCUUGUUCAUUACCGCAUUGCUACAAAAUUAAAGAAAGCUCUUCUGAAGAGAAUCCAAGAUAAAGAACACUUGAUUUUGCUAAUCAAUGGCCGUCCAGUUCAUUUCGUCCACAUUGAACUAGACCAUCAAGUCGAGAACAUGUUCUCUAACAAAUUGGUCCUCUUUUAUUUUAAUAUCUUUCCUAAUUAAACAUAAAUAAAUUCAAAAAAUUACAGGAGAUUUUUAAAAAACACAACAAACUGACUAAAUAUUUACACAAUAUAGAAUAAUUUUGAAAAAGAAAAAAACUUCUACAGUACGAAAUAUCAAAAAUACUCCGCUAUUAAUUUAGUCACACACGCGCACAAAAAAAUUGGUACAUGAUCAUUUAAUUAUUUGUACACGAUCGUGUAUCAAAUCUAAACAAUCUUGGUACAUGAUCUUGUAACAAUUCUAAACGAACUUGGUAAACAAUCUUGGUACAUGAUCAUGAACAUGGAUUAUUUAGAUAUUGGUACACGAUCGCUUACUAAUAUCUAAAUGAUCGAUCGUGUACCAAUUUGUAAACAAUCUUGGUUCACGUUGUAUGAAAAUCAUUUAUAUUUAGUACAUAAUCGUGUACCAAUAUCGUUUAGAUUUGGUACACGAUCAUUUAGUUCUAGAAGAGAAAAUAUAUGGGAAAUGACGAAGAAAAAAAAAUUCUAGAGAAGGAAAUGAAAAAUCAUGAACAAGAACAAGUGGAAAUAUGCAACAUAAAAAGUAAUAAUAUGAAGAAAUUAAUAUUAAGAAAAGGAGAUGAAUAAACCACAAAUAAGUGAAAAAUCGUCCGCAAUGUCAAAUACAAUGGUGAAAUUUAUGAAAAUAUUUUAUCGGUUUCAUAGGCUUUGUGAUCUUUUACACUAGUAGUAAAUAUUUUGGUGUUUUAUAUAUUUAUGAAAAUUAACUAAAAUUAAAACUACUGAUUUUAAUUUGAAAGAAUUUGAUUUGGAUUUUCAAAACAUAGAUAACAAACCAAUAGAUUUAUCAGUGGUUAUAAAGCUCUUAAAUAGAUUUACAAAAACUAAACAACUUUUUACCUUUUUGGAAUAAGAUAAAAACUCUUUGAGAGCGGAUAAAAAAGAAACAACUCAUAAAAGUCUCGUCUUUGAAAGAUAAAAACAUCAAUCAUAAUACAAUUUAUUUUUCCAACAUCGUCAAAUAAAUUAAUAAAAAAUUAUAUCAAAUUACAAAAACAUUAAGGGAAAAAACAGUUCAUGACACUUAUUUUUUGUAUAUUGCCAAUAUGAAAAAAUUAAUGAUAUCAAACGGCUAUCAAACAGUAAUAAUAGGAAUAUCGAAGGGCUAUCAGACGGUAAUUAUAUGGUUAUCGGCUUUUAAAUUUGCUACUUCUGCAAUUUAGAAAAUGUAGUGACAUAGACCGUAUCAUCAUUUUUUUUUACUAUUUUUGCAAGGCCCCUAAAUUAAUUUGCAAAAUCGAAUGUAAAAUAAAUUAAAAUAACAUUACUUUGAGAAAAACAAAUCAAACACUUCUCUUGAUCUAACUUAAUAACUAAUUUGGUGAUCUAAUUUCCAAGUUCAUGGUAUUUUUGUCAUUUAGUUCUUGUGAACUAAUUCUUCAAGACAACAAUUAAACAAAAAUUUGUUGUUUUCAAUAUCAUACCAAUGGUGGCCAGAACACAUCGACCAUCAUCAACAAAAUUAUCCCAAACUGAAGCUCCAACCUAUAUAAACAUAUCAUGAUGUUAAUCAAUGUCUCUCAUCUCAUCUUAACAAAAACUUCAAAUCAUCUUGUUAAAGGGAAAAAAUAUGGCUUAUUCAAAGUUCUUGAUCAUUGCCUUUACGGCUACUUUGGCUCUUUCGAGCAUCAACUUCGGCCAAGCUACUCGCCAUCUUUGGCAAACCACUCCACCCUUGGUGCCAAAUCUUCCAGCAAUUCCAACCCUGAUACCGCCAUUGCCUGGCUUGCCAAACCCUACUCUUCCAAAUUUACCACAACCUACAUUACCGAAGGUUAAUUUUCCUCCACUUUCAAUCGGGCUACCGUUGCCACCGCUCCCGACAAUGACACUUCCAAACUUUCCGUCAAUCCCUACCAUUCCAAUUUCAUUUCCUUCCAUCCCAUUUUUGUCCCCUCCUCCUGCGACAUCUUCUUCCCCCUAAACUUGGUUCGGUUAUUAUUUAACUUAUGCAGCCCCAAUUGUUGUUGGUUAAUUAGUUUAAGGGUGGAGUUCUAAAGUUUUAUUUAUAACUCAUAAUUGUGUGUUUUAAUUUCAAUAUUUAUGUCUUUUGUAAGAUUGAGGUUUAGACCUCCAUGGGCUAUCAUAUUACUGUUUUAUUUGAUCAAGCCUAUCUUGUACUACCAAUACGACAAACUGUUCUUAAUUUUGAUUUUUAAUAAAUUUCAUCUCAACCUCUCGUUUCCAUCGAGAUCACCAUCACGUAGUGGUGGAUCGAGAAAUUUAAAUGCAAGAAGUGGAGCUUGAAACUAGGUACAACGAGAGUUAAAUUUUUUUUACCACCAGGCUAAUUUCUAAAAUUGUUAGAGUUCAUUUUUUUUAUACAUAUAUGUAAUAUAAAAAUAAUAUAAAGUAGAGAGGUCCCUCUACAUCUAUACUAAAUUCUAAAGAUGUCUAAGUGACGGGGUAGGCUGGAGAUGACACUCUCGAUCCCCAUCCCAAUCCAGUUGUUGAUCCCUUCAAAUUUUUGUGCAAGGAACGGGCAAGGAUUCUCCACAGGGAUCGGGUUCUUCGCGUAGAAAUAUUCUUCACUUUUAUUUCUUUUUUGUUAUGAUAAAUUAAUGGCCUUUAGUGUCGGUUGACAACCGACAUCUAUGCUAGCGUUAUUAAAGGCCUCUAAUGUCGUUUUUGCUUUGAUGUCGGUUUAAAAACGACAUUCAGUGCCUCAUUAAUGUCGGCGUAAAAACGUAAUGUCGUUUUUAAACCGACAUUUUUAUGGUGUUAUUGAAGGUCUUUAAUGUCGAUUGACCUUUGAUGUCAGUUUAAAACUGACAUUAAAUAGCUCAACAAUGUCGAUUUAAGUCUUGUUUCAAGGUCUAUUUCUACAAAUUUAUUUUUAUUAAAUUGUUGCAUUAUUGUCCAUUUUUUUAUUUCGCAAAAUAGUUAAAAACCAACAUCAUGGAUCGAUAAAUAUUUUUUCUUAUGACAACAAAUAAAUAAAAUUAAUAUUAUUUUAUAAACUAUAAUAAUUCUCUUUUACAUAUGUAUGUACAUAAUGAAAUCUUAAUAUUGUGUUUAUAUAUACAUUCUUCAACAAUUACAUGAAACAAGAUCUUAAUACAAGACUUAAAUAAGAAAAUCCUAAACGCCUUCUCAAUCUUCAAUCUUCAACGACCGUUUGGCUAUCUACACAAUCGCUUAGCUUUCAAUCUGAUAUGACUUCAAUCAUUGUACAAACAAUAUCUAAUAAACCAUUUAAUCUUUAGAAUUUUAACAAGGCAAAUUUGAAAAAAAAUGUGGAAUAAAAACGUUUCUAAACACUAUCAUGUAAUUCAAGUAAAAGAUAAAAACGUUUGAAACUAAAUCGAUGAGCCAAGUAUAUGUAACAAAAGGUUUUUUCAUGGAGUUCACUGAAUAUACGUUUAGACUCGAGCAAUAUCUUUCAGAAAAAUAAACAAUAGAAUAUGAGUCAAAUCAACUCAAACAUUCCAAAAUCAGUCAAAUAUUAUAAACUCAAUGCUUAUUUGUACCAAACAAUCCAAAUAUUUCUAUCAAAACUAUGAUUUCAACUUGCUCUUAUUUUUUAGUUCAACGAUAUACACCAAACAAAAAAAAAAAAGAUAAUCAAGAAAUGAAACCUAUCUGCUGAUCCCGCACUAGAAGAAAUCUAGGCUUUAAUGUCAGGUGAAAAAUGUGAAAAUUUGGCUUUAAUGUUGGUUUUGAAAAGGCAGAUAAUAAAUGUUGGUUUUAAAUUGACAUUAAUGAUAAGAGUUUAAUGUCAUUUUUAAACCAAUAUUAAUGAUCCGUCCAUUUUUAAUUUUAAUUUUAAUUUUUUUUAUUUUGUAAAAACCGACAUUAUAGAUAUUUUCAUUUUUAAUAUUUUUUAUUUUGUGAAAAUUGACAUUAAUGAUCCUCCCAAUUUUUAAUUUUUUUUACUGUGAGACAUUAAUUAUUAUAGUUUUACUGUGGAGACCAAAAUUUGAUGUCUUGACUAAAUAUAAAACGAUUCUCAUUUCUUAUUCAUGGUACUUACCGUCUAGGAAUGGAAUAAGAAAAAGAGAAUUCGAGUUUCUAUUUUAAGGAUAUAAUUCUUUUCUUGUUUUUUCACUUUUAAGAUGUUUAGUCAAUUUCAAUUGACAGAAAAGAUAGAAGGUGAAUUUCCUUUCUUAGUGUGGGAUUUAUACUAAACUCUUCCUCUACCUCUCCCUUUGGACUGCUAUGUGUCUCAAACUAACCUUUCUAUUUUAUGAUUAUACUAAGUACUGGCAAGUAAAGGAGAUACUGGUUAAUUAGCUAGUUGAGCUUAUUUCAAUAGUUAUCAAUUUAGAAAUAUGGUUGUUGUUGAAAAAUUAGUCUUUUAACUGUAUGAAACUAUAUUUUCUUCCUAUGACUAAUAUAGUUUGAAACAUUUUGAAUAAUUGAUUGAAUUGAGGAUUAGCAUAAAGUUCUCUUACUUCAAGGACAUUGUCGUUAUUUCUUCAAGUAAGUAGUUUCUACCUCCCUACCAAAAUACAUAUUCAACUAUUGUGGUUUAAAAUAUAUUUUGUGUCAUUCUAGUCUCGUUGAAAGUGUUUUAGUCUAAUUAGUAUGGUAUAUUAGUAGUAUAUCAACGUUUGCUUGAAUUAAUAUCAUCCAAAAUCUCCAUAGUAGUUCUUUCCUUACUCUAAAAGAUCUGGUAGAAUUUCGAUUUGGAUAUGGAUCGACAAAAAAAAGUUUUAGUGUAUGAUUUAUGAAAAAGUAGAGAUUUAUGAAAGUUAAAAUUAGCUAAAAAGUCAUACUAGUUCUUUAUCUUUCUCAUAAUAUUCCAUUGGAAACUGAUUUUGCAGGUAUAAUUAAUGUCUAUCUUUUCAAUCUGCUUGAUGAAAAUGCUAAAAGUAUAGAACCAGAUAGCUUUGAGAGGCAUUGGAGAAUAUAUUUUUAGUUUGAUUGGUAAAAAUGCUAAAAGCAUAAUUAAUGUAUAUCUAUACUUGUGGUUUAUUAAUUUUAUUUCUUCACUACUAAUUGAAAACAUCGUUUUGUUACAUAACUUAGAUUCAAUCGAGAGAGCUUAAUAUCAAGCUGGUGGAUGGAUACUUGUCGAAAGGAGAAUUAAAGGUAUUGUUCAAAGGUUUUUUUUUUCUCUUUUGCAUUUUCUUUCCUUUUCAGCUUUCUCGUCAAUCAAUGAGUUUAUGUUGAUGGGGUUAAUUCUCUUUCUUCAAGAUUAUUUAUAGAUAUUGUGUUUAAAGGGAUAAAAGCCCUAUGGCAGCGGAAUAAUUUAAAGAACUGUUUCUCAAAUUAAUUUGAGAAUCUUAAAAUACCGGUACAUUGGCAAAAUUUUAUAAUCAAAAUUAUAAAUAAAUUCUAAGCAUGCUAUUAAAGAAUAAGAUACAAGAACUUACUUUCGAUGACGUCUCUGAAUUUACAAAUCAAUUUUCAAAUUGGGACACCACCCGUCGAAGACCUUCCUAUCCUCUGGGAUGAGAUUGGUUUGUGGGAACCAAUUGAGAUGGGAAAAGACUUGGAGAUAUUUGAGAGAAACUCUUUUUGCAGAGAGAAAAAAACUUUGUUUUUUUCUUAAUGAAUUUGGCUAAAAAAAUAUGUUUUCUUCUAGAUAUUUAUAGUUCUUUCCUUCUCGGAAUAAGAAAAGGAGUAGGAGAGAAUCAUGAGAUUCUAUUAUCAAAUCUACUAAUUAAUUAACAAUUAAUCAAUCUUUCCAAUAUCUUAUAUAUUUAUAUUAAUAUAAUUAAUUAAAUCAUAUUUAAUUAAUAUCUCUACAAUCUCUUAUAAAUUUAAUUAAAUCAAACUUAAUUAAAUGAACUAAAUUAGCUAAACUCAUUAACCACAUCAAUCAAUAUUUGUUAACUGUGUGUGCACUCUACUAAAGACUCACAGCUGAACUCUUCUCACUGUAGAUAUAUUUCUGUGUCCAUGGAUAUAUACCAAUAACAGUAAGUUAGUCCUUCACGAGUGUUCGUAACACCAACUGGGUCAAUUUAUCGUUUUACCCCUGGGUUACCUCUAAUCUUUAAAUAUCAGUGCUCCUCUAAUGAACAACCUGUUUAUGGUCCUACCAAUUAACAUAAACCCCUCUCGUGCCAUGGAGAGGGUAUGAGCCUUUGUUCAAGACUUGGAGACACCAUUUAAGGGAACACUCAUCUAUUUAUCCUAAAGUAGGGAAUAAGUGAAUUCCAUCUUAUGUAAUUAUGUUCCCAGCUCCCCACUCGGUCUUGUCCCCAAAAUAAUAAGCUUAUUGAGUUGGCAAUCUGGCCACUCUCACCUGUACAAAUCAAAGGACAAUCCCUUGCGAACAGGAUUUCAUAACACACUCAGGAUUAAGACUAAGUUACCUAGGUCUUCUUAGUGAAAUAGAAAACCUAACUAGUUAACGAAGUUACAUCUAGUGGUUACAAAUUCGCGGUUCGGUCUUAUGCAAACUCAUUAUAUAGGAUACCCUCACUCGCAUGUCAACUACACGAAUGUGUUGGAUCAUUGCGUUUGUAUCAAAUACAAAGUGAGUCGUAUCAAAUAGUGUUAUCAGGAUGAGGUAUCCAGUCUUAUCCUUAUACUAUAGACCUUUUAAACUGAUUUUGAACAUCGAUCCCUAUAUGUCUAUACAUAUUGUUCAAGACUCAUUAAACAGCUUAGGAUUUUAGUUUAUUGGAUUUGGGUUAUUAAGACAAUACUAAUAAUUUAAUCAAUAACAAUUAUUACAAUAAUAACACUUUAUUGAUAACGGUCAAUGAAUUAUAUUUAUAAUCUACGAGUUUUAGGACAUAAAUCCCAAUAGUGUUGGUAAAAGCUAAGAUUGUCGAGCUACUUUUAGCCACUGUAGUUAUCAAUCUAGCUGGAACAAAAGAUUUGGAUAUUGAUCUUCAAAACUCAUUUCACUUCAGGUUUUUUAUUGUUUAUUUGUCAUGAGAUUAUUGGUGUUAUGUUCUUCAAUGUUUCUCUGUUUUGUAGGUUUAAUCAUGCUCUAAGGUCAAUUGCCAAUAUUAUACAAACUUCACAUAUAUGGCUCAUGUUUAACUGAUUUUAGGCAAAAUAUUAUUUUCUUUUUUCUUUAUUUCUUGGUGAGAGGUGUUUGCUAUCAUUUGUGAUUGUCUAUUCUACCUUUCAUUGGUAUGUUUACGGACCACUUUACUAUUCUUUGGCGUGUUGGUCUCAUGUCAUGAUCAUAAAUGUUUGUUUACUGAAAUCAAGUAUCAUAAAUGAUGAACAAAUAUUUUAACAUUUCAGAAUUAUGUUGUCUUUCUUUUAACAUUUUAAAACAAGUUUUAUCUAUAGUGUAGUAGACAUAUUUCCUGUCCCUGGGUUUAAUUUUGAGGGCAUUGCAUCCAUGGUGGUGACUUCUGAAAAAUAUCUUUAGUUUGACUCCAUAGUAAGCAACUAUAAUUUUGUUGGCACAUGAUGCCAAAUAUUUUCAUUCAUGCAUCCAGUUUUCUUUGAGAUUUUUAGAUUGAUUUAUAACAUUUGUAUAAUGUGAAACAAUUUAUCUUGUAGGAAACAAUUAAACUUUUGCUAAACACAAAAAAAGUUUGGGGAUAUUGCAUUUUGGGACAAGGAUUAUAAAAAUGGUCAUUGAGUACUACUCAAAGGCAAUUUCUACGCUCUUGACUUCAUAGCUUUGAUAUAUUGUUACGAUAUGGAUAACAUAACAGCUAGUUCUCAAAGCCGUUGAAGUUCAAGACUUCGUUCUUUGUUCAUGUCAAUGGUUAACAUUAUGACCAUUUUUGAAAUUGCAGCUAGUAUCAAUAAUGUUAGUUCCUUCUGGUAACUUCUACCAACUAGUAUCAAGCUACAAAAUUGGGUUUAUGUAUUUAAUUGUUAUAAGCUAGUAUUUAUCUUUUACCUCCCACUUGUUCUUACUGUGAAAUCAUGCUCAUAAAAGUUAGUCAUUUGUUUACUUUCUUAGGGGUAUCGCUAUCAAAAUUUUUCGUGCCCCUAAAGGAAGAGGAUGGAAGUGAUAGUCUUGUAGUUCAACUUGCGAAUGAGAAGCACUAGAAUGAUCCUGUAAUUAUCAUUGUUGUGGUAUUUACACUGGUUUUGAAUAAGGGUUGUAAUUCCAUACUUAUAAAUUAUUCAAACUUGAUUGGAAAUGUACAAAUAUUACAAAGUGUAUUAUAACGUAUAUAUAUUAAAGUGUCGACCAUUUGUUUCUAUAUGGGUGUUAUAUAUUAUAACAUUUUUGUCAUCCAAAUGGUUCGUGUCAUGGCGGAGCGACAAAGAGAACAGUGAAAAACAGUAGUAAUUGAAGAAUUUGCAACAGGAAAUAAAUGUCAUAAUAUAUGAAUUCGUAACACUCUAUAAUUUUCGUCAAUAUUAAAACAAUAACAUUUUUGUUAUAAAAAAAACUGUCAUGAUUGUCUUAUAUUUGACAGGAAUUUUUUUUUGUCAAUAGCAAAACAAUGACGUUUAUUUUUUAAAAAACUGUCACGAUUGACAUAUCCUUGACAUUUAAAAAAUGUUAUAAUAAACGAAUUUGCAACAUUUUUUUAAUUGUCGUUAAUAUGCAAAUGAUGACAGUUAUUUGUUGUCAUAAAAUAGUAAUUAACGACAUUUAUUUUCUGUCAUGAAAAAACUUAUUGCGACAGUUUUCGAAAACUGUCAUGGAAGAACUUUCCAUGACUUCCGAUACUAUGACUGUAAAUAACUGUCACAGAUUUUAUUCGUGACAGAAAAUAACUGUCGUCUUAUACCAUUUUUGUUGUAGUGCUUUUUCGCAUUUUGUAAACAAUAUUCUCAAGAACGCGAAGGAAGGUUCCAUUGUACGCUAAGUUUGUCCAUGACUUUUGAAUUUUGAUCGGUUGACUUAUUCAUCGAGUUUGAACAAGUGUACGCAAAGAAAGACUACGAUUAUGACACUCGAUAACCUCGAAUUCUGAAGUGACUUAAACUGGAUUUAUGUCCUCUCCAUAACUCAAAAGAUGUUUCAAAAACACUUUUCGAGGGAACAUUGUUCAAGGUAUGAACUAUAGUCUGUACUACAUGCCCCCAAAAUAAGCUAAGCAAUUAAGCAUAACUCAUCAUUGAACGAACAAUGUCUAACAAGACUCUAUAUCUCAUUUGUGAUACACCAUUUUGUUGAGGUGUACCAGGUGCCAAUAGUUGGGAUUGGAUUCCAUGUUUUAUCAUAUAGUCUUGGAAUCUCAAAUCCAUGUACUAAUCUCCACCUCAAUCAAAUAAAAGUAUUUUAAUAAUUUUACUUAAUAGAUUUUCGACUUCAGCCUUAUACUCCUUGAACUUUUCAAGAGCUUCAUACUUAUGCCCCAUUAAGUAUAAAUAACCAUACCUUGAAUAACCAUCUAUAAAAAAGAUGAAAUAUUUAAAACCUCCUCUAGUUUUUACAUUCAUCGGACUACAGAGGUCUGAAUGUAUAAGUUUUAUGGACUCUUUGGCUCUAUAACUUUUUUCCAGUAAAAAGUAUUUUAGUCAUCUUUCCUUCAAGACAAGAUUCACAUGGAGACAAUGAGUCAUCUUCUAACUCAUUUAGAAGUCUAUUCUUUACCAAUCUCUCAAUCCUAUAGAGAUUAAUGUGACCUAAUUUUAAAUGCCAAAGAUAGAUAUUGUUAUUAGAAAAAACUCUUUGCCUUUUAUUUUGCAUAUUAACAGUUUUAACCAUCUUAAGAUUUAAAAUUACUUUCGCUUCGGUAGGUCUUAAUAUAUACAAGUUGCUCCAAGUUUAGCUGAACAAAUAUGUACACCCUUCUUAAAAAUGAAUGAUUUAUUUAAAGAAAAGGUUACAUUAUAUGAUUGUCCAAUAAGACAAAAAAUAGAUACAAAAUUCCUUUUAAUAUUUAGGAACUAUGUACAAGUUUUCUAAAAAUAAGAAUCUAUUUUUUAAAGACAACUUAACAUCUCCCACUGCACGAGCUGAAAUGACAUCUCCAUUCCAACCUUGAGUGUCAUCUCACCCUCCUCGAGCUGCUUAAAGAAACUAGUUUCUUGUAAAGAAGAGCAAACAUAACUAGUGGCUUUUGAGUCAAGUGUCCAGGCAAUUUGGUUAUUUUUCACUAAACAUAUUUCUAAGACAAGUAAAUUAUACUUACCUUCUUUUUUUAUUUUUCUUAAACAUCUUUUGGAGGGAGUCAUUGAUCUGAUGUGCAAUGACCAUGGUUUCCUGUUUCUUGUUUAGUAUGUCAGACAUACUAGACAAGAGAUAGACGCGGGCCUUGUCAUUGGCCUUUGUCCAAUGGUUAUAUGCAUCUUUGACAUUAUGAGAUGCAUUUCAAGAAGGGAAAAGAGGACAUUCUCACAUUAAAACAAAAUAUAGAUCAUCAUUAACCCGAAUCAUAUUCAGGUUUGACUUCCACAUCGCAUAAUUCUCACAGGAUUAAAUUUUUUGUUUUUAAGUAGUUGAUUAAAUGAAGAUGAUAUGAUGAAAUAUCAAAUAAUUGGUCGUAUUAGUUAUAUUUGUCUUAACCCAUUACACAAAUAAUCCAAUCAAUUCAGCAAAAAAUGGCAUUCAAAGAACCCUAAUCAAACAAAUGAUUCAUUAACUAACUUAAUUCAUCCCAUAAGUGUGACCCUACCAUCUUCAUAUCCCAGAGGUACGCUUCAAUAGGCUACGAAAAGGAAAGACAACUGUUGAAGAUUAACCUAAGAAACCCUAUCCAUUUAUGGAGUCUGCGUUGUUUUGACUUCUAUAAUCAAGCCUUCUGAAGGGAUGUUCACUCUAGGACGACACACAGGCAAAUCAUAUAAAUUUUACCAUGCAACCUAAUAGAGGAGACUAUAGGAUAUGUUGACACAUGUUAUUCUCCCACUUACUAUGAACAUUUCCCCUAUUCACCUUGUUCUUGCCCUAUACAAACAUGUUCCAAAGGGAGGUCGCUCCCAGGUGCCAUGAAGCCAAGUAUAAAUCUCACAUGGAAACUCUUAGAGACUUGAGAGCUAAGAAUUGAUAUAUCCUAUAUACCAUUUUUCUUCCACUAAAAUGUUCUAUUAAUUUAGGGUUUGUUGUACUUAGCUAAAUUCUGGCUAAAUGAAUCUACAUAAGUCUAUUCUUAUUAUAACUCUUAUAAUAAAACUUACUCUAAAGUUUUUACGUGUAUUAAACCAUUUAAUUUACCUAGUGGUAUCUUAUGCUAAUAGAAAUAAGAUUAAUUCAAUAUCGGUUUCGGGUCAGUUCCUAAGUAUGAGGUAUCCCGUAAACCGUCAAUUUAAGUAAGACGGAUAAAACGUCGAGUAUUGUUUUAGAAAAUUAAAAGUUAAGUUUUUACAGAAUUUUUGGGCUAUUUUACAUUAGUUUUUACUUGACAUUUUUUUUCGCGUCAAGUAUAGUGAACAUUUACUUGACGAGAAAAAAUGUGAAGUACUGUUUUUAAAAAAAUAAAAUUUUCACAGAAUUUUUCGAAUUAUUUUACGUUAUCUUUUACUUGACGUUUUUUUCGUGGAGACUUUACUUGAUGGUUUUUUUUGCAUCAAGUAUAGUGGAUAUUUUACUUUAUAUUUUUUUUGCAUCAAGUGUAGUUAACAUUGACUUGAGGUGAAAAGAACAUAAAAUAUAGUUAACAUUUUUAUUUUAGACUUUUAAAAUGUGAGGUAUAAAAAAUAUAAAAACAUAAAAAAAAAAAAUUAUUUCCCUUUCUUUCGUUAAAUAAAUUUAUUAAAAUUUAUUUCUCUUCUUUCAUCUCCCCCGUUUAACCCUCCAUCUCCGUGCGUUUCGGCCUUCAUUCUCUCCAUCUCCACCGACAGGUCACACAAAGCUUGUGUAUUCUCAUUGGGGCAAUAAACGGGGCUAUCCAGGGUUUAGGGUAGCAGAGCAUCAUCGUUUAGGGUUUUACAGAAAGCUUCACUCAACUUCAACCAAUAUUCUCUAUGAAAUGGGUUUAUGGGGUAUGUUUCAUUUUCAGUUCCAUCUUUAUUAUCUCAUUUCCUUGUGCCUUCGAACCUAUAAAUGAAGUUCAAUGGUUUAACAUCACCGCUUUCUCAAGUACCGCCAUUAAGUUCUUUUUCAUCCGUGUUCUUUCUGCCAUUUCUUAGAAUCGAAUAGCCGAGAGAGUACUUUAUUAAUUAUUUGUUGUGAUUAGGUAGAUUUCACUUCUUCAAAGAGGAAUUAUGAAUUUAGAGAAUGCAUAAUCUCAAAUUUUCUAUUGUGUUCUUUCUCAUUUUUUGCUUGCAUGUCUUUUUGUUUUAAUUUUCAGUACUUACUCAUGUCUAUAUCUUCUAUUAUUUUCAUUUUCCAAGGCAUUGAAGUGAAACCAAGCAAACUUUACCCUUGCCAUUCUGAUAAUGUCAUGGGAAAGCUUCGGAGAACUCAGGUUUGUUUGGGCGCUAGCAUCUCUCUCGAGAUGAAAAAUUAUUAGGAUUGAUGUUUUCGAUUUCAAAAAAUCAUAUUUGUGUAGUCAACAUAUCAUGAUGACAUUUUACUGUUUAUUUGAAAUUUAUUGUUUCAUUGUUCAAGUUGAUGGGUUUUUUUUUUUAUUUGAGCUUAGUGCUGUGAUUUUGGGUAUUCUAGCUCCAGUUUGCAUUUUUCUAAAUCUGAUUAUAUUACGGCGGUGUUAUACGGUGAGCCAGUGAGUUAGAUUGGAUUUUAAUUUGUGUUUCUUUUUAGUAUGAUUACAAUGGAAUUUUUUUACUAAUUUGUCACUUUUUGAUAAGUCAGGCAACUUUGGGACUUGGCUCAUCGAAAGAAAGAAGCAUCGUUUAGUGUUUUAUGUCGAAUUAAUUGAACUCAAGGCAUCACUUACGAUAGGGAUUGUUGUUUUUGUUUGCCUUAGUCUAUUUAUUGGAUCGAUCAUGACCACACAAGAAUCGCAGGAUAUACAAGGCCUUUCAAGUUUUUGGAUGGUGCAUCUAUCUUUUUUUUUUUUUAAUAGAAAAGGUUGAUUUAUAGUUGAGAAAAAAUGAAAGCAUAAAAGAAAAAGACCCUGUGAAACCCCUCUAAAGAAAGAUUUUCUAACUACGUAACAUACUAACUCCAAGAUAAUUACAAAAAUGUCUUCAAAACUGCAGCUACACAUUGUUACUAAAUUUAAAUUGUUACUAAAAAUGAGGUAAUUUUCAAAAGUGAAAAUUUGACAAAAUAUUUACAAGCUACACGUUCUAUGAAUAACAAACAUGUGAUAGGCCAAUGAUAUUCUAUCAUUGACAUUGGAUAGUCAGUGAUAGAAGUAUCUCACUGGCAAUCAUGGAUAAAAUCCAUAAUUUUUGUUAUAGCUUGUAAAUAUUUUAAUUUAUUUUGCUAUUUUAAAAAAUGUCCCUUAAAAAUAUGUAUUAUGUAUUAUUUAAUAAAUUUUUGAUAAAUAGUUCAAAAUAUAAAAAAUGUGAAACUAUUGAAUUUAUCUUUGUUAUUAUUUUAGGGGUAGGAUCUAAAAUUUGAAUUCAAAACGUUGUUAAACAUAUUUAUUAUAAAUUAUAUAAUAAAUUGUUAAUUAAUUGAUUUAAAUAGCAAUAAUCGAAAAUAUGCUAGAGAGUACAAUCAUAUUUUUAGGAGAUGUUGGUAUCAUCUUCUCUUGCAUGAAAAUAUGAUAUUUAGUUAAGAUUUUAACAAACCUUGAUGUUUUCAAAUAUAAUGUAUUCGUGAAUCUGUGAUAUUCUGCUUCAUUUUUUUAACUUAAUGUGAAUAUGUACUCUUUCAAACCUAACUUCAAUAAACUAACGUCCAAAAUUUUAAAAUAUUAAUAAAAUAAGAUGACUAUAUUAAAGAAAAAUACCUAAAUUUUAGGAUGUCACAGUGUACGCAGUGUUUUCAACUUGUAAAUCGAUAAAAAUACACUGUAUUUGUAUAAUAAGAUUUAAACUGUAGUGAGUGGCAUAUUCAAACUUAUUCAGAUAAUGAGGAUGUAUUUAACCGUGUUAAAUUUCAACAAAUCUAAUACAUUUGUUUCAUGGGGUGAAUUUUGAGAUUUGGGUACGUUCAAAUACAAUGUAUUUCUAGCAGUACUAACAAAUACAGAGUCAACAACCAAUAUAUAUUUUCUAUUUGUUUUUGUCUCGUGUGAACUAGGGAUGACUAAUCAAGAGAAAAAGUCUUUGCGAGAAAAGUUGGUAGUUUGUGAAAGAAGUUAUGCGAUAAGACUUUGGAAAGCUGUUAAGUGGUAGGAAUUAUUCGCAUAAUGGUAUUAGGCGAGAAGAAAAGUUUGGGGAGAAGAUGUCAAAUCUGAUUUGACAAGGGCUAACGUGUAGGAAUAAGGUUUUAAGCAUGACUACAAUAAAUAGAAAUUUUACAAGUUUAAGGUUGAAGUAGGAGCUAACAAUCGGAUAAAGAACUAGGGAUGACUAAUCCAGAUUAAAAUAGUAGUAUAAUAGAGGAUUUGGGUAACUAAGUAGAGGAUGAUGAAAGUUUUGUUGAAAUGCUAAAAUGUUGUCACUUGGUCUCCAUGAGAAGAUUUUGCGUGAAGAGGAAAGUUGAAGGGUCAGUGUUUUUCUUUCAAAGUUUUGUGAGUGUUAUCCUUAAUAUUCUAUAUCAAAUAUUUUCUUAUAAAUCUUUACUAAUUUGAGUUAAUGAUUUUGAUUCAAAAUGAUUUCUAAAAGAGAUUUAUAUGAAAAAGUGUUAUAAUGUUCAAAGCAUGAUUUGAUCUUAAUGUUUACGAUAUAGUUUGCAAAUCAUUAGUUACUUCUUUUGAAUAAGCUAACUUUUAUGUUCACACAAAGAGUUAAAUGUCACCAUGAGUGUAUGGAACUGCGUGGUGAAGAAGCUAGCUUAUGCGUUGAAAGAAGCGUAUAAUGUUUAGUGGUCGAGCAACAAGGACUAAUCAUGACACUCUCAGAUGUUGAUAAAAGAAGCGUAUAAUGUUUAGCGGUCGAGCAACAAGGACUAAUCAUGAUACUCUCAGAUGUUGAUGAUUCAAUAGUCUAAACGCGAAGUUAUGUGAUCUAGCAUAGAGAGUGAUUUGGGAUCCUUGACAAAAUGAUUUGUUAAGCGUCGAGAGUUAUUUUAUGUAUAUUUUUUAUUUAUUGAAUUUUUCCUUUUUUCAAUCAUGCACUAUUUUGUUCGAUUCCAAUUCAAUUUAAAUUAAAUAAAAUUGUUAAAAGCUAAACAACCAAAUUACUAAAUAAUUAUAUAGAAUGCCAAAUUAAAAUUAAAUAUAUUAUAAUUAAAUGUUACAUUGUCUAACAAUUUCGAACGCUUGAAAAAAAUUACAUAGAAAUAAAUACACAUUUAUCUCAAUAUGGCCAUGGACGCCGUAAUACUAUAGGUCCACUCCUACAAUGACACAAAAUUAAAUUUAGAUAUAACCGAAUGAUACAGAGUAAACAACGGUAAAAUUAAAAAAUAUGUAUCACACCCUCUAAUGAGUCUCAAUUUGUGUUCAUACAUCUAUUGUAUGGACACCUUAUUCGUCUAUAAGCAUCAACAUGAAACUUGACAAUCUUUAAAAAAUGGGACACUCCCUCUCUAUACUCAACCAAAAACUUAUUUCUAACUUUUAUCCAACUAUUAUCCAUCGUUAAAGACCUAAGACAUAAAUAUGUUUGAUUAGUGGCAUAUUCCUUCUCUCAAACCCUAAUCUUAAGUUAUUACUCCAUGAAGAAACUUUGUCUAAUCCCCAAAAUUUUCACUCAAGCUAAGUUUAAACUACAAAUGAUCAAACAUAACUGCAUGAUAACCAAAACAAAUUAACCCCAAAAAACUACUAAUAAAUUCAAAACUAAGUUUAAUUUGCACCAAAGAGGCUACCAUAACUACAAUAUAGUCAUACGAAAUCAACAACAAACUAUUUCAAUCUUUACAAGCUACCCAACAAACAAAACAACUAAGAAAUAAACAAUCCCCCCCCCCCCCCCCCCCCCAAUACAAUCCCCUCAAAUUUUCAAUUCAAUCUUUCCCCUCUCAAAUUUUCAAUUCAAUCCCAAAUUCAAAUUCAAUCUAAAAUUAAUUUUUAAAACCAAAAAAUACUUAAAAUUCAAAAUCCACACCAAAACUAAAUCAAAAAACUAUUUCAAAAUCUAAAUCAAAAAACUAUUUCAAAAUCUAAAUCAAAAUAUACACCAAAAUCUAACAUAAAACUAAACUACCUACUAGAAUUAGUAGAUGUGGUGGCACACGACGAAAGAAUGAUGGCAGGGACGGCAACAUGACAGACAUGACAAACUCUCUUCUUCUUGGUCUCUCUCAUUUUCCAAAGGGAAACUCCCAACAUAUAAUGAAAACAUCGGGAUAACCCCAUUCUCGACAUCAUUCGUCCAACGUCGAUGGUAAAUCUCCAAUAUACCAAUGCAUUACUAAUGACGUUGAGAAUUCGAAUCUAGAUUCUCAAUGCCAUACAGGACAUGUCAGAGGAAAGUUAAUAUAUAUUUAAUUCUUUCACCUAUGUUGACGUCAGACGUUUAUGUUAGUCACGUCAGGGAUGGGCCACAUUUGUCCGACGUCAGAAGAACGAUGUCGGAAUAAAGAAUUUCUUAUUUCCAAGGAAGAUCUCUCUUCAAUCUUCAUUUUUUGAAUAACAUAAGUUUGCCUUUUUUUUAUCCAUGUGAAUAUGAAUAUAAUUAAAAAUUGAUUUAACUGAAAUGGUUGAUUGCAGAUAAUAAACUUGAGCGGUAAUAGGUUAAAUUGAUAGUUUAAGCCUCAAGGUGUUAUAUUGCAACAAAAACCACAUAAUUUAACGGUGGUUUGUGCAAUUUUCCAAAAAUCUAAUGUUCUUGACAAAUAUUUUGAAUUGAAUUUCAUAGGUUGAAUGAAGCUUUUGAAUUCUUUCAAAUUAAGAAUUCGAUCCUUCCGAAAAAGGAGAGAAUCCUCGAAAAAGUUAUUGUUGAAAAAAAUAAUAUUAUUAUCCCAAAUUAAAUGAGAACUUUAAAUCUUCUUAAAGAGAUCAAAUCAUCAAACAUCAAGAAUCAUAUCUCAUCACAAAAAGUAGGUAAAAAAAGUUUGUUCAAUUUCAAAUAAGUCAAAUUGAAAAUGUUUAUAUGAAACAAUUUACUGUUAAUUCCCUAGUUUAGUUUUAUUUAGCUGCACAAUUUACCUUUAGGUUUUAACUAGAAGAAAUUUUAAUAUAUUUCACCAUACAAGAAAAUUCUUACAAUUAUAAAAUCUCUAUAAUAUAAAAAAGAUUUAUAAAAUCUAUAACUCAGACUUGUUACUUUUACAAAAUAGUGCAAAAUAAGCUAAGUUCAUCGAAUGUCAAAAAUAUACAAUACAUCUAAUAUAUAAGAUACACAACUGAUAUACAUUCAAAAAACUUUAUAUACUACAAAAUGUCAUAGAUUAUCUCUGUAACAAAUGAAAAAAAAAAAAAAUGUAUGCCACAGCUUGAAUAUCCUAUUCUUUGUUAUUUGUCAACCACCACAAAUUUUCAUAAAAGAAUAUUGGAUCGUCCACUGAAAAGAAUAAAUAACCAUAGUGCUAGCUGAAAUUUGUAAAGUCUUCAAAUAAGUCAAUAAAACACACAUGGGGUUUGUAUGUGUAAUUAAUGAGAAAGUAGAACAACUUAUUGAUACAUAUAGAAGUAAAAGCCAAAUACAUAACUAAUGAAAGGCAAGAUAAAAUAAAAGGGCAAAUUGAAAGUAAAGUAUUUAGUGAAGGGAAUUAACAAUAAGUUUGAAAUCAUGAAGAAACAUAGCUCCAUCUCCAUCCCCAUCAAUCGAAGCCACAAUAGCCAUGGAAUCCUCAAGUGAAACAUCCAACCCUAAAUUCACAAACACAUCAUAAAGCUCUUCCCCACUCACAAGAUCAUCCUCAUCUGCCUUUAGAGCCUCAAGAGCAAUCUUCAAGUAGCUACCCAACUCCCCAACAUCCAUAUUCUUUGCAUUCAUCUCUAAGAACUCCCCCAUGCUUAGCAGCCCGUCUUUGUCGGCGUCACCUUCC